AAAGAUACUAGUGAUAUCUGAACAUUUUGAAAUCCAAUUUGGAAAAUAGGGCCUUUGACCCCCUUUGAUCAUAUGGUUAUUUUACUUGGGCCUGACCCCUUUCGGAAUCCUCGGAUAGACAAAAACAAAACAAAAUAAAUAGUAAAAUGAACAUUAUGUAACAAAAAUUGUGCCACUUCUCAAAAGUUCUAUCCUUCCUAACUCAUUCCUGCUAGUUUUUUCUUAUAAAAAGCUCAAACUCAAUGGAAGGGAAAAAAGUAAAAUUUCUUUAAAGCUACAACAGAAAAGGCAGGUCGUCAUCAUUCAGCCACAAUUCCUCGCGCUCUCAAACUAAUUAACAUGGUGUUACAUCUCUAGUCAUGUUUGGCUGAAGAACUGGAGGAAAAGGAAAACUAUUCAUCUACUUCUUCUUCUUUGAUUUGCUGGAAAGAGACUGAGUAUAUGCAGUUCCCUGGGUAACAACACAAGGUAAAGAAAGUGACUUCAUUUCAGAUGUCUGGUUUACAGGAAAAAAUGGAUAUGACAGCCAACAAGUAUAAAGACAGUAAUACAGCAUCACAAAACAUACCUGUAGCCAUUCGUCCGUCGAAGCAUCUAUAGACCUAGUUCCAACUUCAACUUUGGGAGCUCUCUUUGAUUUCUGCCCAAAUAUUCAUGAGCAAACAUGAGAAUAUCAGAGUUCCAAGAAAAUAUUGAAUUCUAGGAUUUCAUUAAAAUUGAAAUUUGGAUCAAUUACUAUACAUGUGUAUGGACGGUUGGGUAACUUCUAUGUUGUAGUUAGCAAAUCAAACACGAGAAAUGAGCACAAAGCGGGAGCAUUAACCAGGACCAAAUCAAAGGUGAGAAAUUUAGGGCCUCUUUGUAAUUGGUAUCAGAAAACUAUUAGCUAUCCACGUUUUGUGUUUUCACUUUAUUUUCUGUUUCCAAAUGAUUAGGGCCUCUUUGUAAUUGGCAUCAGAAAACAUGAGCUAUUUUCGUUUUAUGUUUUCACUCUAUUUUCUGUUUCCAAAUAUUUAGGGCCUAGUUUUAUGUUCCCUCUAUUUUCUGUUUCCAAAUGUUUAGGGCCUCUUUGUAAAUUGAUUGGUAUUAGAAAAUGUUAUGUAGUUAGCAAAUCACACAAUGAAGUGAGCACAAAGCUGGAGCAUUAACCAGGACCAAAUUAAAGGGGGGAAAUUUUGGGCCCCUUUGUAAAUGGUAUUAGAAAACAUUAGCUAGUUUUCAAAUGUCUGCAGUGAAAACAUUGAGAGAACAACUGCUGUACAACUAUUGUUUUCAUUGUUUCCUGUACAAAUAUUUGAAAAUAGGGAACAAAUUGAAAACUAUGGGGGCAGUUUAGUUGUGUAAAGAGAAUACAGAAAAAACAAAGUUUUCAUAAAUCAAACACAUUACGUAAAAAAAUUAGCAAAUUCUAAAUGCAAAGGUGGUUCAGUAAUAGCGCAUUAUCUGAAAAGAUAUAGAUUAUAGUACCUUAGAUAGGUUUUGUACUUGACCUUGAAUCCAUAGCCCCAAGAGGACAAGGAGGGAAGCUCCAAGAGUAACAAGAAAAACAGAUUCGAUGCUAAGAAACCCACCCGAUUCAACAACUUCAAUAGUGCCAUUAAAGAAGGUGCUUUGGUAUGGAUGCUCGUCUAUCUCGUAGAUAAUAGUGCCAACAAGAUCAAAACUUCCAGGCUGUAUACGGAAAAUUCAUUUUGCGCAAUGAGAUCAAAAGUAUAUAAGUACUCUCUUAUGUUUCACUCAUUCAAAAACUAAAAGAAGCUGUGUACAAAGUGAUGGUGAUACCUGCAAGAAUUUACUGACUGCAAAUAUGUAUGGGAAAGUAGCUUGGGCUGAGGCUGGUACAGAACCAUUGUUGAAAACCUGCAAUAAAAGAAAAGUUGCAUUUAUAUUUUAUACUAAGUGUCGAAUGUCAUCUGCUGAAUGAGAUUAGGUUAUUCUAAAACCUAGUCUAUCAAGAAAACAAAAAAAACUUCAAAUUCAAGACUUUAUACACAAACUCUUUCUAGCAGGAUUUGAAAUUCCCUUUUCGUAUAAAUGGCUUUCAUCAAUUUGAUCAUUAGAAGUUUAGUAUUGUUUAAAAGGUAACAAGCAUAAAUAACCAUUUAAAUAAUAUGAGAAAAAUAAUUUUUUACACAAAUAAAUAGCCAAGUUUAAUUCGGGAUUUUCAGUAACCAAUUUCUACCUGAGCAGUAAGAUUUUGAACAUACAGACGAUGAUCGACAGGAAGGUGAAUACUGGCCUUGAUCGCAACAACAUUCAAGCCAGACUCGCCUGUUUUCAGCCCAAAAAAAACAAAAUCAGCUAAACAAGUGAAAGAGCCCCUGAUUUUACUCUUGAAUCCCACACUCCUCAAACACCAGUAAGAAAAUAAUGUAAACAAAGAAAGGAAUGAAAUAUGAAUCCUAAACAAUCACAGCAAAAAUUUUAAAAAACUUAAAAGAGUGAAACUACAACACUUAUCCAAUCUGAUUGAAUUACCAUCAUUUUUAACACCAACUAGCAGCUCGGUGUCUUCUCCAGCUGUAACCACUGCAUCAUAUUCACAUAAACAAACAAUUUACCAUCAUUUUUAACACCAACUAGCAGCUCGGUGUCUUCUCCAGCUGUAACCACUGCAUCAUAUUCACAUAAACAAACAAAAUCAACCCAUUAUCCAACACAGAAAACAAAAUUAAAACACAUUCUGUAAAACAAACAGAAGAUCCUUACAUUUUGCAAUAUUUUUAGGAAACACACUUAUAGUAUCAAUCCCCGGAGCAGCAGAAAAGGUUCCAACUCCAUCAAAGUCUUGAGCAUCAUCACCAACAAUGCCAAUAUCACUUUCAGUAGUCUCCACAGCUUCACUUGAUUCUGACUUACACCUAACAACUACCAAAUAGCAAGAACCACAUUUCAAUAAUCAUCAUGCACAUAGCCAUAAAAACAUAAUUAUCAGUUACUUCCAAGAUCCAAUAGGGCAAAUAAAAAAUAACACAUAAUUCAAAAACGUAAUCACGUUUCCAUCUAAAAAUGCAGAAUUAACAUCUACAUCAACAUGAAAUUAAGAUUAAACAAAAACCAAUUUUUGAUAAAAUUAUAAAUUACAAAUCAGAUCAAAAAAGCUUUAAAAGCAUGCAAAGUUGAAACAAUUGUGUCGCCGGAAAAGUAAUCGUAACAUGCAGGGAAUGAAGCAUGGAAACGGAUCUAGAUCUAGAAUGCGGAGAAGCAAACCUUGGAGGAAAGGAGAAGCGAUGAGGAGAAGAGCGAGAGAGAAAAUCCAAACGGUGUUGAAGGAGGCCAUGGUGGUGUGUUGCGAUUUUCCAAAUGAAACGUGAGUGAACUUUCAACGCUGAAAUAAACCAGAUUUGUAUUGGGGUGGUUGUUCGUGUUAGAAACGACGUCGUUUUAAUUCGUGUGUAAGUAAUGCUGUAUUUUGGAUCCUCAUUUGCUUAGUGUAUGGUUUGUCCAUUUUUCAUUGGUCGUUUUUACGUGGUGCGUUGUAAGAUGACUCAUUUAUCCUACUCAUCGUAAAAUCAAAUUGUUACUACAUGUUAAUUGAAUUUGUUUAUUAAUUAAAUUUAAACUAACUAUCACUUUACUAUCUAUGACAUUUCCAUUAAGAUUAUAAGACUAUAUAUAUUUUGUAAAAACAAUUAAUGACUUUUUAAUUUUUUAUUUAGGGACCUAAUUAUAAAUUAAUAUACACAGUGAUUAAAAAUUUGUAUUUUAAAAUUUAUUGAUGUUUUUAAAAGUCACUAAACGGAUUGACAUCUUUUAAGAAAUUAAAUUUAUAAAUAAAACAAUUAGUUGAAAAAUAAUUAAUUUUUAAGUUUAAAUAUUUUUUCUAUGUUUUUGCUUUUUUUUUCUCUAUAUUUUUUUUAAGUGAAUCAAGUCUUUAAAUAUUAAAUUUUAUUUGGUUUGAAUUAUUGAAGUUAAAAUUUACGGAAAAUUCCACCAAUUUCUUGUUGAUUUUAAUUUUAAGAACUAAAAUCAAAAUGAUUUAACAUUCAGGAAUUAUUUUCAGCAAACAAAAAAUACAAGGACGAAAAUAAAAAACACGCUAACUUACAUAGAUAAAAGACUAUUUAAAUCUAAUUUUUAGUUUGAGUUAGUGUGUUUUUAAUGUUUUAUAUUUUUAAAAAAUAAGUCACUUGAUUCAUGAGCUUGUUUGUUUUAGAUUUAAAAAAUAAUUAUUUUUAAUUUUUAAAAUAAUUUUUAUAAAUUUUAAUAUUAAAGGUUUUUAAAUUUGUUUUUUAUAAAUUAAAAUAUAGUUAAAAUUACAAUUUUUUCAAAAAUAUAUAUUUUAAAUAAUUUUUAUGAAAAUUUAUUUAAAAUAGUUUCAAAUUUAAAUGAUUUUGGGAAAUUUUGUUAUUAAAAAAGUUUAUAAAAAUGAUAAAUUAUUUAAAAUAAUAUUUUAAAAAUAAUUAGUUAAAUCAAUUUUUUAUUUGAUAUUUUUUAAAUUCUUCGGAAUUUUUUUUAAUUAAAAAUUAUUUUGAAAAAAGCCGAAUAAAUUGACCGGACGUGGGUUCAAAUAAAUUUGGUAAAUUCAAGUGAAUUGCGGAUUCAUUAAUUUUCAAUUUUUAUAUUUUAAAAUGAUUCUUUUAAUAAAGUCUCAAAUUAUAAGACGUUUUGCAUAUUUUAUGUAUAUUAAUAAACAUAAUUAUUGUUGUAUGGGAAAGACAAAUUACGCAUUAUUUUACAAUAUUAUUCUUUAUUUAUUAUAGAUAAAAGAUAAAUUUAAAGAAUUGUAAUAAAAAAUAGUAAUAAAUGAUAGAGGAUAUGUUGGGGAAAAAAGUCAUUAAUGUCGCAUUGAAAUUGUAAAGUGAUUUAUAAUUUGGGACAAAUAUUUUUAACAAAUUAACUUAUAAUUUGGGACAUAGUGAGUGUUUGUAAAUCAUUUUCGUAAAUACUUAUAUCCAUCCCGUCAGAUAGACCAUUUGCAUGUUCAAAAUAUGUCUAAUAAAUCUUUUGAUAAUGUUAUAAUUUAUUUUUAAGUCAGACUAAAACCACAUAAACUACCAAAUUAAACAAUCUUAUAAAUUAUCGAAAAGGUUCUUCUAAAAUUCUUUAAGGGUUUGUUUUAGAGGGGAAAUAAGGGGAAGACUUCGGGAAGAAAAAAAAUAAUUGAGGAAAGAAUUUGAGAAUUUUGGUUUGGAGGAUUUGUAUUUAUUCAUAACACCUAAAACUUCUAAUUUCAAAAAUUCAAAAUGUGUGUUAAAGGAUGGUUUUGAAGAGUUUUUUAGGAUUUACAUAAAUAAAUUUUAUGUUGUUAUAGUAUUUUGAAAAUUAAAGUAGCAUAUUCAAUUCAAACAUGUCCGACUAAUUCUGUCGAAUCCGGAAUGUGAGGAUGGUCGUAUCGACAGUACUCGAAAUAUAUAUUGAUGCCUUUGAUAAUGCAAAGUUAAUGUGAUAGCCAUGUUGAUGUCAUGUUCAUGAAUACCUUAUAUAAGGUUAGGAAUAACUAUUUAUUUUGGGAUUUCUGCCUUGUAAUGUAAUUGAUAUACUGUGAUUUGAGAUUGUGUAGAUUAUGUGUUGGGGAAAUAGGGUGUUACAAUUUAGUGGUAUCUGAGCCUAGUUGGCCCGACCGGUCAGGUUUUUGUAAUGUUGUUUACUCCCUAGUACACGACAUGUGUGUGAAACACUGCCGAUGCUCGUUUAUUUUUCUUACCCCUUGUUUGCAGGAGCAGAAUUGAAACAAGUGGAGGGAAGCUUCUGCUUCUUUUAGAUGUUUCAAGUGUGGAGAGUUGGUUCAUCAUGCCGCUGUUUAUAAGAGCGUCGAUUGUUGGAUAAGUCAAUGUUGCUUUCUAAGUUUGUUGAAAAUGAAGAUUUGAAGUUCAUAUCAACUGUUUCGGUAAGUCGUUAUCAUUUCUAGAGUUUGAUGCAAGUGACGAGUUGUUUGUGUCUACCGGGCAAGUAGAUGAAUUCGUGAAGGAUGAGGCGGAAGUGUUUAAGAUAUUAGCUUCUAUGAAGAUUGAGAGAAAAGUUACGAUCAGUGAGUUAUCAGUGGUGUGUGAUUUUCCUGAAGUGUUUCCAAACGAUAUUGGUGAUUUACCGUCGGAGCACGAGGUUGAGUUUUUCAUAGACUUAGUACCUGAUACUAGUCAUGUGCCGAUGGUGUCAUAUAGAAUGUAUGUUUCAGAGUUGAGUGAACUAAAGAAAUAAUUGGAAGAGCUACUUGAGAGGAAGGUUGUCCGACUGAGUAUUUCGUUGUGGGGUGUGUCGGUGUUGCUUAUCAAGAAGAAAGAUGGUAGCAUGAGAUUGUGUGUUAACUAUGGACAAUUGGAUAAGGUGACUAUUAAGAACAAGUGUCCACUUCCGAGGAUUGGUGAUUUGAUGGACCAUUUAAUUGAAGCGUAACUUGGGAGAUAGAGAGCUAGUUGAGAGAGUCGUAUCUGACUCUGUUUCCUUCAGGUAAUUUUCGAGGGAGAAAAUUCUAUAAGUGGGGGAGAGUUGUAAAACCCCAUAUUCGAUUAAAUUAUUUAUAUUUUUUAUUUAAUUAUUUAGUUUUUGGUGUGCCUUUAAAAAAAAUUAUAUGAUUAUAUGUUAUUGGUGUGUAAGGCAGUGGUAAGGUGUGGAGAGAAUGUAGUGACUUGGUAGAAUAAAUUAGAAAAUAUUUAUAAUAAUUAGUGUCGCGGCUAGAAAAAUGACACAAUCGCCACCAUCUUUUAUUCGUUCCUAAGGAAUAGGAAAAUAAUGAGAAAACCUAUAAACUGAGGGUGAGAUGUUGGGUUCGGGAGUCACUUAACUAAGGGGAAGGUAUUAGGCACCUGUUACCUCUAUUAUAUUAAAUGGGAUCCUCCUUCAAUUCUAGGGUUAGUGUGUUUACAGAUGUUUGUUUGAUUAUCGAUUAAUUGUUAAUUAUUUAUCAUAUUUACGAAAAAGAUUUUAUUUAAACAGAUGGAAGAUCCAAAAAGAUUUUUUAUUGCCGUACUUGCUAGAGUUUACAACUAUAUGCCUACGUACCUUCGCAUUAGGUGAGGGAUCAGAGUAUCGUAGUUCAUGUAGAAAAAAGUUGUUUGUUAAUUGUUUUUAUCCCUCAGAAAUUCUCACGCAUCCGAGGCGAAGAAGUGAUUGAUUUUUAAAACGCCUCAAUACAGGAGGAUAGAGGACUUAUAUUUUGAAGUGUGUUGCAUUGAUUUUAUCCCUUAGUUGUUGACAAAAAUAUAAUAUUUAAUUUAUUUAUGAAAAUAAAUUAGUGAUGAUAUUUAGAUAUAAGACAUAACUCUUUAUCCCAAAUUUAUCCCCGAUUUUAUCCCUUGAAAAUCCCUUUGAAUUUUAUCUCAUGUUUCAUCCCAUGUGUUUUAUCCCAUUUGGUUAUCAUACAUUCUUAUUAUAAAAAUGUAAUUUAAUUUGAUUAAGAAAAUAAAUUAAAUAACUGCAAUAUAAUGUAUCCAUUCAUCCCAUUUUCUAUCCCUGGUUUUUAUCCCCUAAAACCCUAGAAAUUAUCCCUGAUUUUAGCCCAUGUUUAUUGAUUUAACUAACCCUAAUUUUUAAAUCCUUAAUUAAUUAAAUAUGACUAUUAUAAAUAAUUGAUUGUAAUAAUCCGAUUUAAAUGACCAAACCCCAAAUAAAUAAAUUAACUUAUGACAUAAAUUAAAUCAUGAAUUUAGAAAUUUGAAAAACCCUAACUAUUAAUUUAAAUGAAUUAAUCCAAAAUGUUAAAUCAAUAAAUUCCCAAGUUAAUAGUUAAUUAAGUAAUUAAUUAACUAAUUAAAAAUUUCAAACAAAGAGGUGUAUUCUCUAAGUGAAUAAGCAAAUGGGUUGAAGUUAGGGGUGUAGAUAGUAAAGGAUCAAGCCCAUUAAUAUCUGAAUCCCAAUGCUGGCCAAAAAGGUCCAUUGGAGAGAGUCAGCGGUUGACUCUCAUCCAGAAGCGUUGGAUCAAUCCAGGUAAUCAAGAGGGACAAUUCAGAUUGUAAGUCAAAAUGAAGAUCAUGGUGUACGCGCGUGUACCAAAAUAAGUCAACGUCGACAAUUCUAGUGGCUCGCAGUGAGCCACAUGGACGCGACAUGGCAAGCGAGGGAGGAGGAAUAAAAGCGAUAUUUCUUCAGAAAUGAAAACAAUUGCAUUUCUUCGCUCUCUCUAUCUAAACUCUCUCUCUCUCUCUCCCAGACCCUCUAUCUCUCUCUCUAAACUUAUCCCUUCUCUCUUUUCCUCUCCAUUUGGUCACCCUUCUCCACCUCCCACUAUCCUCCAAACCACCACCAAACCCCUACCGGACCACCGUAUUCAUCAUGAACAUUAACCCAAAAAUAUGAACCUGGCCCCGAAACCACCACCCCCACCCCCAAACCACCAUGUACUCCAUGUUUACGGUUGAAGCUCAACUGAAACCUUCAACCGGUGUUCAUUUGGGUGAUGAACACCAACCCAUAAACUCUUGAACCCAGAACCCUAACCCUAAACCUACGAACCCUAACCCCCAAAUCCUUUACAUAGAUGAACCCUAACCCCACUAUGAUGAACAAUAACCCUAAAAAAGAUGAAUCUUCAUCUUCUUCCUUCGUCUCGAACCUCAACCUAACCCAGAUCAAACCCUAACCUAUCCAGAAUCAUCUCAAACCCCCGUUAAGCAACAAAUUACAAAUCCUUUGACCUUUAAUCACACAUCAAACAACAAAUUCAACCAAAAAUAUCACCAAUCAUAAUCAAUUUUCCCAAACCCUUAAUCCCCAAAUUCAAACCCCAAUCAUCAUACAAUCAACAAUAUCAAACAUUCAACAAUAUAAUCUAGGAAUCUAAGUUAUACCAACCUACAAAAUGUUUUAUUCCGGUUAAGAGGUAAAUUUUGAGUCUUGUUUUUCCCUCUUUUGAUUUAGGUUACCUCCUCUUCUCGUUAACUUCUUCUUUUUGUUUCUUUGAUGCGAGGUCCUAUGGAAGUUAAACUCAGAUGCUUUGGCUUUCGGUGUAAAACCCUAAGUAUCAAGAAGAUUGGAGCUUUGGUGAGGUUUUUGGUUAUAGCAACAUCAAAUUCAGAGCCCCUGUUUCGAUUCUAGUUUAGCAUUUUUAUAAAUUAUUUUUAGGUUUAAGGUUUUAAUUAGAUUUGUAGUUUUAGGAAGUUUAGAGUUAAUUGAAGAUUUGAUGUAAUUUUGAUUGAUUAUGUAUUAGAAAUAGAAGUUAGGGUUUUAGAAUUUUUUGAUGUACUUGGUCCGAAAUCGAUUGUAUAUUAUCAUUUGGUGAAAUUGGAAAUAUUUGAUUCACUGUAUUUGAUUCAUUUCUAUUUUUUUUUGUGCGUGAGAACUAGAGUUUCUGAUUGGGGAAGAAGAUGGACCUAGGUCACACUUGACCCAGUUCAGGGGAUGGGUUCUGGGUUUGACCUAGUUAGUUCUUGGGUCAUUCUCUUGACUUGAUUAGUCUUAGGGUCUGGAUUGGGCCUAACCCAAUUCCAAUUGAAACUUAAAACCAGAUAAUAAUAAAAGACCAAAAUUAAAUAAAUAAUAAUUGAAUUUUGAAUAACUUAAUUAACCAUCUAACUUAAAUUAACCAUAGAUCAGAAAUAAUUAAUUAAAAUAAAUAACUAUAUUAACCUAAAUUAACCUAUUAGUCUGAAAUAACAAAAAAAAGUCAAAGUGAAUUAUUAAUAUCGAUCUAAAGUUCUAAUUAAACGAAAACAUUCUAUUAAUCCAAUACUUGAUAUAGAAAUUGAAUAAUUUCAGUAGAAAACCUAAUCGACCCAAGGACCAACCCUAAACACUGAAUUAAAAGCCUGAAUAAUCUUGACCAAAAUAGCCCUCUUAACCUGAUUAAUCAUCUGGACAAUUAAAAAGGUAUCCUUUGACUUUUCAGGUUACUGGGAGUUAAGUGGCUCCUGCUUUGGGUAUGUUUAGUUUCUGUUAGAAAAAGGUGGUAAAUAUUUGGGGUACGACAGCUUCCCCUAUUUAAUCAACUUUAACCCGAGAUGAUGAUGACAAUGAGCCUUCAUCUUCUCAUGGUGGAGAUGGUUAAAUAUAGAGAGAAGCCCUAAUUUUGACCAUGAAGUUGGUAGACCCUAGGAAUGAGCAAGGACUGGACAAUCCCAGACACUUUGUUGGCUCCCAAGAUAACUUAUGGUGGGAUCAUUGAUGAUAAAACCCUAAUGAAACCUCGUGGUAAAACCCCUGAUAAACUCUGGUGAAAACCCCUUCGAUAAAAUUCUGGUAGACCUUUUGUUACAAGGUAAAGUCUUUGGUUUAAAGAAUGUUUGCGUAACAUAUCAAUGUGUGAUGGUGACUCUCUUUCAUGAUAUGAUUCAUAAAGAGAUUGAAGUCUACGUUGACGAUAUGAUUGCAAAAUCCCAAACCGAAGAGGAACAUAUGGUUAAUAUGGAAAAACUUUUUGCACGACUAAGGAAGUUCAGAUUGAGGUUAAACCCCAGCAAAUGCACUUUUGGUGUAAGAGCCGAUAAAUUGCUAGGAUUUAUUGUCAAUCAGCAAGAAAUUAAAGUCAAUCCUGAAAAAGUCAAAGCCAUACAAGCUAUGCUCGCACCAAGAACUGAAAAGGAGGUCCGUGGAUUCCUAGGGAGAUUGAACUACAUCGCCAAAUUUAUAUCUCACUGCACGGCCACAUACGAGCCAAUGAUCAAGCUUCUCCAUAAAGAUCAGGCAAUUAUGUGGAACGACAAUUGCCAAAAGGAAUUUGAGAAGAUUAAAGAAUACUUGCAAGAGCCCCCGAUCUUGAUGCAUGUUGUUCCAGGCAGACCUCUUAUCAUGUAUCUGACAGUUCUCAAAGGGUUAAUGGGAUGUGUUCUUGGUUAGCACGAUCAAACCGGAGGAAACAUGUUAUCUACUACUUAAGCAAGAAGUUUACCGACUGUGAGAGUAGGUAUUUAAUGCUUGAGGAGACAUGUUGCCCACUCGCUUGGGCUGCUAAACGUUUAAGGCAAUAUAUGUUGACGCAUACAACUCUUUUGAUCUCCAAGAUAGAUCUUGUCAAGUAUAUCUUUGAAAAGCCUGCUCUCACAGGGAGAGUCUCCCUUUGGCAGAUGUCCCUGACUUAGUAUGACAUCCAACAUGUCACACAAAAAGUUGUCAAAGGAAGUGUCUUAUUCGACUAUCUUUCCCAUCAACCUUUGGAAGAUUAUCAUUCAAUGCGCUUUGACUUCCCCAACGAGGAUAUUAUGUUUAUGAUGGAUUUCCACAUUCUCGACCCUGAGGAAGGACCCGAACCAGGAUCAUGAUGGAUGCUCGUGUUUGAUGGUGCUUCCAAUGCUCAAGGCAAUAGAAUUGGGACAGUUAUCACAUCCCUAACUGGUUUUCAUCUACCAUUCACUACAAGGUGGUGUUUCAGUUGCAAUAACAACAUGGCGGAGUAUGAGGCGUGCAUCUUUGAUAUUGAAGCACCUAUUGAUCUAAGGAUCAAGAUCCUCGAAGUUUAUAGAGACUCGGUCUUGGUAAUCAUCCAUGUUAAAGGAGAUUGGGAGCCUCAUGAUCACAAGUUGAUCCCAUCCAAAGAGCAUGUCUUGAAGCUAGUCCCAUAUUUUCACUACGCCAAAUAAGGGAAAAGAGGGCGCUUUUUUUGGCCUAUAACAGCGCUUUAAAACGCCCUCUAAUCUGGCGCUGGCAUAGGUAAAGACAGCGCUUUUUUUCCUGGUGAAAGCGCUCUCUAAAGUGGCUCUUUAAGCCCUUUAAGGGCCACUUUAGAGGGCGCUUUUUAAAGAAAGCGCGCCUCUAAAGUGGAAACUUUUAAGGGUUUAGAGGCGCUUUUACCUGGAAAGCGCCCCUAAGAGUGGAACUUUUAAGGGUUUAGAGGGCGCUUUUACUGGAAAGCGCCCUCUAAAGUGGAAAUUUAAGGGUUUAGAGGCGCUUAUUUGGAAAGCGCCUCUAAAGUGGGUGGUUAUUUAAUAUUUUUUUAAAAGCGCUAUAUUUUUAUUUAUUUAGACAACCUGUAUAUUGAAGCAGUACACCUAAAACUGAUAAUUGAAGCCCUUUUUCACACAUUGCAUUCAACAAGCCUUAUAUACAACAAUCCAUACAUAUACAACAAUCCACAGAUAUAUAAUCGUUUAACUUCUAAAGAUUCUAAAUAACAACCAAUUCAUAACUUAAAAGAAAUAAACUAAGUAGCAAAGCAUCUCUGAGAUGUAUGUUUUUGGCUAGCGCAGUCUUCUUAGCAACAACCUCUUUUGUUCAAUAUCAAUAGCAUGAACUAAAAUAUCAAAAUUAGUUAGGUGAAGUAUAGAUAAGAAUUAACAUUUUCUAUGCAUAAAUAUCAUAUAAUUAUGUUUAUACUUUUUUUAUGCAACUGACUCGAUUUGCUGCGUAAUCCCCUUAUAUUUUUGGUCCCUUAUCUUUUGAAGAUAGAAUUGAUAUUUGUUAAAUGGACAUGUUCCAUUGUCGUAGAGGAUACUUCAAAUAUCCAGCAUCGUCAUCUACGCGAAUGAGGCUUGACGACAAUGGAACAUCUCCAUCUAAACAAAUAUCAAUUGAUACUUUCAAUCCCUUCCCUGCACGAAUGAUUGACUUCAUAAUAGCCAUUUACCUGUAAUAAAGAAAACAAUUAAAUCAGAUGACAAAUAUAAAAACAAUUAAAAUCAUAAAAGCCUUUUACCUGUAAUAAAGAAACAAUUAAAACAUUUGACCUGUACCUUUUCACUAAGUUCUCUUUCUUUCUUGGUUGGAAUAUUUCUACAUGUCUCUUAACAACACGGACAGUUGGAUUGAUCCAAAUACCCUCAUUAUGAUCAUUUCUAAUAUAGAAUCAUUUGAUAUAAUAUUCUCAUCUGAUCAUUUCUGGUAACGAUUCAAUCUCAACAUCAAUAUCACCUUGAUCUCCAGUGUUUUCAUCAAUUGUUUGGAAAAAAGAACUAUAGACCAUUUCGUACUUUUCGGAUCAUUGACAUGGAACACUUGUCUAGCUUGAGAGGCUAGAAUAAAAGACUCAUCUUUGUAUCCCACCCUAUUAAGAUCCACUUGCAAAAUCCUGACUUAUCCAUUCGAAUGUCGUUGUAUUUCAACCCACUUGCAACCAAAUAUAGGAACUGAAACUUCUCAUAAUCAACACCCAAAUGCGCUCGAUAACACCAAAAUACGAAGAUUUGCAAAUUUGGGGUUUAAGUCCUUCACACUUGAUAUGUGCAUGCUUCAGCUACACAGUGACUGACACCACUAUUCUGCAUAGUACUUUUAUCAUCUUGUCUUUGGUAUAAAAUGUGUAUCCAUUAAUCGCGUAUGCGCUAUAAGAAAACAUGGGAAACUUGGACCAUAUGCUAAGCAUCUCAACUUUCUGUAUUGAAGCGGGAUCUGAAUAUACUUGAAUAAAUAUGAUCCUUAAACAAGGUAUAAAACAUCGAUUGUGCUCUCGUACUAUCCAAUUUUCAUUUCUAUUGGGAUUUAAACCUCGGAGAACAUCCUUGUGAUUUCAACAUACGACUCAACCUCAUUCUCAUUGUGCAGAACAUACAAAUGCACUUGAUCCCGUUCGACCCUUGAUACUGCCACGAUUUUAUUUCCAAUUAGAUUUUUCCUUCUUUCUUUCGACAAGUUGAGACUUGGGAGUCCGAUUGACUGAACAUUAGACAAAUAUUCAGUACAAACACAUCGCUUCUUCAACAAUGUACUUUCAACCAUACAACCUUCUGGUCGACUUCGGUUCUUCACGUACCCUUUUAAUAUUUAUCAUAACGUUCAACAGGUACAUCCAUCUCAUAUAAGCUGGUCCACACAAUUGUGUCUCUUCACAAGAUGAACAAACUAGAUGUACCAUUAUGUCAAAAAAUGAUGGAGGAAAAACAUUUCAAGCUCACACAAGUAAUAACGAUUUCUUUUGCAACAUUGGUAAGAUCGUAGGAUCGAUCACCUUACUGCAAAUUGACUUGAAGAAAGAACACAACUUAGUAUAGAGCUUCUUACUUUUUCUGGAAGAUAGAACGUAUACCUAUUGGGAGAAAAUGUUCCAUUAUAACAUGGCAAUCAUGGGUCUUUAAACUCUUUAACUUGAGGUCUUUCAUAGACACAAGUCUUCUAAUAUCUGAAGGUACCCUUCUGGAACUUUAACUUCACUUAGAAACUUACACAAUGUUUUUUUCUCCUUUCUAGAUAGAGUAUAAGCAGAAGGCGGUAGAUAUGUUCGUUUUCCUUUCUUCAAGGGCCUAAUUCAGUUCUUAUUCCCAUCGCUAUCAAGUCCUUUCUUGCCUUAAGGUCACCUUAGACUUUCUUGUAUAUUGAGUAACGUGCAAUAACACUUUCAAAUACAUUUCUUUCAAUAUGCAUAACAUCAAGAAAAUGUCUCACAUACAAGGACUUCCAAUACGGCAAUUCAAAAAAAUUGACCUCUUCUUCCACCCACUUGACAAGUGUGGGGCAAAAGGCUUGCAAAUCGAGUACCAAUCUUUCACCUUUUCAAAAUUUGAUCACCCGUCAAUAUAGGUGGAGCUCUGCCUUGUUCUGUCUCUCCAUUGAACGCCUUUCUCCAUCCACGGUAGUGAUGAUUUGAAUUUAAAAAUCUCCGAUGACCGAGAAAGACAUUCUUCUGACCAAACUCCAAGCGCUUCAAUCUGUUUAUCUUCACAAUAGGACACGCACAUUGACCUUUUAUGCUAUACCUGAUAGAUUUCCGUAUGCUGGAAAAUCAUUAAUUGUGCAAACAACAUCGCCCUCAAGUUGAAACUUUCUUUCCUAUAUCCAUCAUAAACCUCCACACCGGUCUCCCACAAAAUCUUUAAAUCUUCGAUAGGGCUUCAAGUACACGUCUAUGUCAUUCCCUGGUUGUUUAGGUCCAGAAAUCAACAUAGACAACAUCAUGUACUUACGCUUCAUACAUAGCCAUGAGGUAGGUUAAAUCAUAAUAAUACAGGCCAUGUACUGUGUGAGAUACUCUGAUACCGUGUGGGUUCAUUCCAUCAGUAGAUAAUGCCAAGCGAAGGUUUCUUGAUUCUUCUCCAAAUUCAGGAUAAUCAUUAUCAAUUUUCAACCACUGUGGUGAAUCUGCCGAUGUCGAUACUUUCCAUCUAUAAUUCUUUCAUCUGCAUGCCAGGUCAAGUGUCUUGAAUAGGUUUCACUACGAAACAUGCGUCUAAAUCUCGAAUAACAGGAAAUACACAAACUUUUGCUGGAGACAACUUGUUCUUAUAUCGCGAGACACCGCAUUUAGGACACUCAUUUACGAUGCAUACUCAUUUCGAAACAAAACGCAAUCGUUUGGACAUGCAUGUAUCUUAUCAUAGCUCAUGUCAAUAGAGCACAACAUCUUUUUGUCUCAUAUGUUCGAUUGGGAAGAACAUUAUCCUCAGGAAGCAUAUCUUCAAAAGGGCUAAUAACUCUGUGAAACUUUUAUCGACAUCCAUUCCGCUUUAAGUUGUACAACUUUAAUACCGCAGACAAUCUGUGAAUUUAGUGGCAAUCAUCAUACAAGGUUUCUCUGCAUCACUUACAACCUCUCAAAAUUCGGGACAAUCCUUAAGAUCUCCUUCAAGUGCUUCUGCAAUCUCUUCAACUCGAUCACAUCGUAUGUAUCUACGCCACUAUAGUUUGAGGCAUAGGUCGUACUAUCCCCCGUUAAACAUUCUCGUUACUUUUCUCACCAUGCAAUUCCAAGAUUGUAUAACUCGAUCAAUUCCAUGCCUCAUUAGAUGCGAUGUCACUGAACUGCGUUAACCCGUUUCCCAUAACAAACACCCAAGCAAGGACUAUCAUCUACUGAGGUCUUCGGCGUGCGCAACGGCAAACUUAACGAAUUCUGAUACCCCAUUCUCAUAUUCCCUCGACAAUCGAUGGAAGACAUCCAUGUAUUAUCCAUUACUAAUUAUAAUAAACAAAAACAAUUUCAGAAGAGAAAUCAAAGGUUUCUAAUGUCUCUAUAAUGCAACAUACCGAACCCUAACAACAGUCUUUGAAUGUGAUUCAUAGCGAAUAUCAAAUUCAGCAAUUUAAAACCAACCGUCAAUUGCCUAAUAACCAAACUAUUUAAAUGACUAUGAAUAUUGAAACUUUACAGGGUUAACCAACAAAUUUGAUUCAUAGCGAUAUCAAAUUCCGCAAUUUAAAAACCAACCGUCAAUUGCCUAAUAAACCCAAACUAUUUAAAUGACUAUGAAUAUUGAAACUUCACAGGGUUAACCAACAAAUGAGUCAAUAAUAAUCAUAAUUCAUUUUUUUCUUCAUCAUUAAUUUUGAUGUCGAAACAAAACGUAGCAUAGACAACAAUAACAUAAACUGAAAUGGGGCAAAGCUAAAACAAGCAAUAGUGGCAAGUAUAAUGUAUGCUAGAAAUAAUACACUCAUAAGCUGCAUAGUGUACCUUUGAUUGGUAGAAGGAGGAAACGUCGUAGAUCUAACAGAGGUGGAAGGAGAACGCCUUAGAAGUAGCGAAAAUCGUAGUAGUGAGAACCCUAACGUGAAAAAGAACGAAAAUACAGAGAGUGAAAUAACAAAUGCGCAGUAUGUUAUUUUAAUGUUUACUAAAGAGGACCUUAGAGGGGCUUGUGGAAAAAAGCGCCUCUAAAGGGGGCCUAGAGGCGCUUAUGAAAGCGUCUCUAAGCUUUCCAAAAGCGCUUUAUAAACUGGAAAUGCACAUGGACUUAUAGAGCGCUUUUUAAAAGCGCCCUCUAAGGGUAACCUUAGAGGGCGCUUUCUAAAAAGCCCCUGUAUUGUUGUCCCUCUAUCUCCUCCUUAUUUUUUCGCUUCACCUUAAGGGCACUUUAUUACAAAAGCGCCCUCUAAAAGUGGGCGGCUGUCUAUUCCAGUUGUUCGCUCCUUAUUUUUUCGCUUCACUUUAGAGUGCGCUUUUGUAAUAAAGCGCCCUCUAAGGUGCGCUGUCUAUUCCAGUUUUUGGCGUAGUGUUUGAUGAGAUUACAUUCCACCAUAUUCCUCGAGAGAAGAAUCAGUUGGUUGGUGCCUUAGCAACUCUGUCAUCUGUGUUUAAGGUUAAGUGGAAAAAUGAAGCACCAUUUAUCCGCAUUGACUACUUGGAUAAACCAGCAUAAUGUUUAGUAGCCGAAGAAGAAUAUGAUGGACAUCCCUGGUUUUAUGAUAUCAAGAGGUAUCCGGAUAAACAAGAAUGUCCAGAGAAUGUACCCAUCAUGGACAAAAAGUAUCUUCGAAGGCUCUCGACUAAGUUCUUAUUAAGUUGAGAGGUGCUUUACAAAAAAAUUAUGACUCGGUCAUGCUCAGAUGCAUGGAUAGACACGAAGCAGACUGAAUCAUAAUUGAAAUUCAUGAAGGCUCCUUUGGGAUGCAUGUCAGUAGGCAUACAAUUGUAAAAAAUAUCCUGACGGUUGGCUAUUACUGGAUGACCAUGGAGGUUGAUUGCUACCGCCACGUACAAAUAUGUCACAAAUGCCAAAUUUAUGUCGACAAGAUACACGUGCCACUAAUUCCACUAAAUGUCUUGACAUCACCUUGGCCUUUCGUCAUGUGGGGAAUUAACGUGAUUGGGUACAUCGAGCCAACUGCCUCAAACAUACACUAUUUCAUUUUGGUAGACAUUGCAUAUUUCACCAAAUAGGUGGAAGUAGUCUCAUAUGCAAAUGUCACCAAGCAAGUGGUGGCUCAUUUCUUGAAGAAAGAGAUCAUAUGUCGUUAUAGGGUCCUGAAUAAAAUCAUUAUUAAUAAUGGUUCCAACCUCAAUAACAAGAUGAUGAAAGAGCUAUGCAAAAACUUCAAGAUCGAGCAUCAUAAUUCAUCAUCGUACCGUUCGAAGAUGAAUGGUGAUGUUGAGGCAGCCAAUAAGAAUAUCAAGAAGAUUGUCCAAAAAAUGGUGGAAACCUACAAAGGUUGGCAUGAGAUGCUCCUGUCGCAUCACGCGAAAAACCGGCGGGAAAAGAAAGAACAACAGAGCCGCCACCGUGCGUUAUUUAUCCCAAAAGAGGGAAAGGAAACGCUCAGAGUAAACCUGGGAAAGAACAUGGUCUCGCGACCAAAGAGAAUGGGUUCGGGAGUCGGUUAUGCGAAGGGAAGGUAUUAGCACCCCUACGCAUCCGUAGUACUCUACGGGAUCCACGCACAAAAGGAAGGAAUAUUGGUUGCUAAACACUGCUCAAACUCACACACACUGGCUGAAGGAGACAAAAGAGACUGACUGAAACUGACUCGGCAGGAUAUCGCAUCCUGGGCCUACUUAGUCUAUCAGGCAUAGACAUCAGAGUCGAAGUAGUUCGGACUGGGGAAACGACACAUGCUCGCUAGGAUNNNNNNNNNNNNNNNNNNNNNNNNNNNNNNNNNNNNNNNNNNNNNNNNNNNNNNNNNNNNNNNNNNNNNNNNNNNNNNNNNNNNNNNNNNNNNNNNNNNNNNNNNNNNNNNNNNNNNNNNNNNNNNNNNNNNNNNNNNNNNNNNNNNNNNNNNNNNNNNNNNNNNNNNNNNNNNNNNNNNNNNNNNNNNNNNNNNNNNNNNNNNNNNNNNNNNNNNNNNNNNNNNNNNNNNNNNNNNNNNNNNNNNNNNNNNNNNNNNNNNNNNNNNNNNNNNNNNNNNNNNNNNNNNNNNNNNNNNNNNNNNNNNNNNNNNNNNNNNNNNNNNNNNNNNNNNNNNNNNNNNNNNNNNNNNNNNNNNNNNNNNNNNNNNNNNNNNNNNNNNNNNNNNNNNNNNNNNNNNNNNNNNNNNNNNNNNNNNNNNNNNNNNNNNNNNNNNNNNNNNNNNNNNNNNNNNNNNNNNNNNNNNNNNNNNNNNNNNNNNNNNNNNNNNNNNNNNNNNNNNNNNNNNNNNNNNNNNNNNNNNNNNNNNNNNNNNNNNNNNNNNNNNNNNNNNNNNNNNNNNNNNNNNNNNNNNNNNNNNNNNNNNNNNNNNNNNNNNNNNNNNNNNNNNNNNNNNNNNNNNNNNNNNNNNNNNNNNNNNNNNNNNNNNNNNNNNNNNNNNNNNNNNNNNNNNNNNNNNNNNNNNNNNNNNNNNNNNNNNNNNNNNNNNNNNNNNNNNNNNNNNNNNNNNNNNNNNNNNNNNNNNNNNNNNNNNNNNNNNNNNNNNNNNNNNNNNNNNNNNNNNNNNNNNNNNNNNNNNNNNNNNNNNNNNNNNNNNNNNNNNNNNNNNNNNNNNNNNNNNNNNNNNNNNNNNNNNNNNNNNNNNNNNNNNNNNNNNNNNNNNNNNNNNNNNNNNNNNNNNNNNNNNNNNNNNNNNNNNNNNNNNNNNNNNNNNNNNNNNNNNNNNNNNNNNNNNNNNNNNNNNNNNNNNNNNNNNNNNNNNNNNNNNNNNNNNNNNNNNNNNNNNNNNNNNNNNNNNNNNNNNNNNNNNNNNNNNNNNNNNNNNNNNNNNNNNNNNNNNNNNNNNNNNNNNNNNNNNNNNNNNNNNNNNNNNNNNNNNNNNNNNNNNNNNNNNNNNNNNNNNNNNNNNNNNNNNNNNNNNNNNNNNNNNNNNNNNNNNNNNNNNNNNNNNNNNNNNNNNNNNNNNNNNNNNNNNNNNNNNNNNNNNNNNNNNNNNNNNNNNNNNNNNNNNNNNNNNNNNNNNNNNNNNNNNNNNNNNNNNNNNNNNNNNNNNNNNNNNNNNNNNNNNNNNNNNNNNNNNNNNNNNNNNNNNNNNNNNNNNNNNNNNNNNNNNNNNNNNNNNNNNNNNNNNNNNNNNNNNNNNNNNNNNNNNNNNNNNNNNNNNNNNNNNNNNNNNNNNNNNNNNNNNNNNNNNNNNNNNNNNNNNNNNNNNNNNNNNNNNNNNNNNNNNNNNNNNNNNNNNNNNNNNNNNNNNNNNNNNNNNNNNNNNNNNNNNNNNNNNNNNNNNNNNNNNNNNNNNNNNNNNNNNNNNNNNNNNNNNNNNNNNNNNNNNNNNNNNNNNNNNNNNNNNNNNNNNNNNNNNNNNNNNNNNNNNNNNNNNNNNNNNNNNNNNNNNNNNNNNNNNNNNNNNNNNNNNNNNNNNNNNNNNNNNNNNNNNNNNNNNNNNNNNNNNNNNNNNNNNNNNNNNNNNNNNNNNNNNNNNNNNNNNNNNNNNNNNNNNNNNNNNNNNNNNNNNNNNNNNNNNNNNNNNNNNNNNNNNNNNNNNNNNNNNNNNNNNNNNNNNNNNNNNNNNNNNNNNNNNNNNNNNNNNNNNNNNNNNNNNNNNNNNNNNNNNNNNNNNNNNNNNNNNNNNNNNNNNNNNNNNNNNNNNNNNNNNNNNNNNNNNNNNNNNNNNNNNNNNNNNNNNNNNNNNNNNNNNNNNNNNNNNNNNNNNNNNNNNNNNNNNNNNNNNNNNNNNNNNNNNNNNNNNNNNNNNNNNNNNNNNNNNNNNNNNNNNNNNNNNNNNNNNNNNNNNNNNNNNNNNNNNNNNNNNNNNNNNNNNNNNNNNNNNNNNNNNNNNNNNNNNNNNNNNNNNNNNNNNNNNNNNNNNNNNNNNNNNNNNNNNNNNNNNNNNNNNNNNNNNNNNNNNNNNNNNNNNNNNNNNNNNNNNNNNNNNNNNNNNNNNNNNNNNNNNNNNNNNNNNNNNNNNNNNNNNNNNNNNNNNNNNNNNNNNNNNNNNNNNNNNNNNNNNNNNNNNNNNNNNNNNNNNNNNNNNNNNNNNNNNNNNNNNNNNNNNNNNNNNNNNNNNNNNNNNNNNNNNNNNNNNNNNNNNNNNNNNNNNNNNNNNNNNNNNNNNNNNNNNNNNNNNNNNNNNNNNNNNNNNNNNNNNNNNNNNNNNNNNNNNNNNNNNNNNNNNNNNNNNNNNNNNNNNNNNNNNNNNNNNNNNNNNNNNNNNNNNNNNNNNNNNNNNNNNNNNNNNNNNNNNNNNNNNNNNNNNNNNNNNNNNNNNNNNNNNNNNNNNNNNNNNNNNNNNNNNNNNNNNNNNNNNNNNNNNNNNNNNNNNNNNNNNNNNNNNNNNNNNNNNNNNNNNNNNNNNNNNNNNNNNNNNNNNNNNNNNNNNNNNNNNNNNNNNNNNNNNNNNNNNNNNNNNNNNNNNNNNNNNNNNNNNNNNNNNNNNNNNNNNNNNNNNNNNNNNNNNNNNNNNNNNNNNNNNNNNNNNNNNNNNNNNNNNNNNNNNNNNNNNNNNNNNNNNNNNNNNNNNNNNNNNNNNNNNNNNNNNNNNNNNNNNNNNNNNNNNNNNNNNNNNNNNNNNNNNNNNNNNNNNNNNNNNNNNNNNNNNNNNNNNNNNNNNNNNNNNNNNNNNNNNNNNNNNNNNNNNNNNNNNNNNNNNNNNNNNNNNNNNNNNNNNNNNNNNNNNNNNNNNNNNNNNNNNNNNNNNNNNNNNNNNNNNNNNNNNNNNNNNNNNNNNNNNNNNNNNNNNNNNNNNNNNNNNNNNNNNNNNNNNNNNNNNNNNNNNNNNNNNNNNNNNNNNNNNNNNNNNNNNNNNNNNNNNNNNNNNNNNNNNNNNNNNNNNNNNNNNNNNNNNNNNNNNNNNNNNNNNNNNNNNNNNNNNNNNNNNNNNNNNNNNNNNNNNNNNNNNNNNNNNNNNNNNNNNNNNNNNNNNNNNNNNNNNNNNNNNNNNNNNNNNNNNNNNNNNNNNNNNNNNNNNNNNNNNNNNNNNNNNNNNNNNNNNNNNNNNNNNNNNNNNNNNNNNNNNNNNNNNNNNNNNNNNNNNNNNNNNNNNNNNNNNNNNNNNNNNNNNNNNNNNNNNNNNNNNNNNNNNNNNNNNNNNNNNNNNNNNNNNNNNNNNNNNNNNNNNNNNNNNNNNNNNNNNNNNNNNNNNNNNNNNNNNNNNNNNNNNNNNNNNNNNNNNNNNNNNNNNNNNNNNNNNNNNNNNNNNNNNNNNNNNNNNNNNNNNNNNNNNNNNNNNNNNNNNNNNNNNNNNNNNNNNNNNNNNNNNNNNNNNNNNNNNNNNNNNNNNNNNNNNNNNNNNNNNNNNNNNNNNNNNNNNNNNNNNNNNNNNNNNNNNNNNNNNNNNNNNNNNNNNNNNNNNNNNNNNNNNNNNNNNNNNNNNNNNNNNNNNNNNNNNNNNNNNNNNNNNNNNNNNNNNNNNNNNNNNNNNNNNNNNNNNNNNNNNNNNNNNNNNNNNNNNNNNNNNNNNNNNNNNNNNNNNNNNNNNNNNNNNNNNNNNNNNNNNNNNNNNNNNNNNNNNNNNNNNNNNNNNNNNNNNNNNNNNNNNNNNNNNNNNNNNNNNNNNNNNNNNNNNNNNNNNNNNNNNNNNNNNNNNNNNNNNNNNNNNNNNNNNNNNNNNNNNNNNNNNNNNNNNNNNNNNNNNNNNNNNNNNNNNNNNNNNNNNNNNNNNNNNNNNNNNNNNNNNNNNNNNNNNNNNNNNNNNNNNNNNNNNNNNNNNNNNNNNNNNNNNNNNNNNNNNNNNNNNNNNNNNNNNNNNNNNNNNNNNNNNNNNNNNNNNNNNNNNNNNNNNNNNNNNNCGACCAAAGAGAUGGUUCGGGGAGUCGGUUUGAAGGAGGUAUUAGCACCCCACGCAUAGUUAGUACUCUAGCGGGAUCCACGCACAAAGAUAGAAUAUUGGUGCUAACGCUGCUCACACUCCACGCACGCUGGCUGAAAGAGACACAAGAAACUGACUGAAACUGACUCGCGGAUAUCGAUCUGGCUACUUUAGUCUAUCAGGAUAGACAUCAGGUCGGAGUAGUUCGACUGGGGGAAACGAACAUGCGCCGUAGGAAUGCAUUCCUAGCAUACGUAUCUUUCGACGAAGAAGAAUCAGAGCAUUCGCUAGUGGCUGACCACGCACGACAUAACAGACACAGGAAAGGCAAACGUGGAGCCGAAACCAAUGCAAUGGCUUCAUCAGAUCCGAACCAAAACACACCAGAAAGGCAAAGUGGAGCCUGAAUGCAAUGGCUGGACUUACAUCUAGAUCCGAACCAAAACACACGACACUGGAACCUAACUGCACUCGAUGGCUUACAAUCAGCUUCCAAGCACACAACGAACACAAACAAGUUAAUAGGGAGUCGGGGACUCGAGCUAUAACAUGUCAACACACAACAAAGAAAGAAAGGCGGCCCGGAGAGAUCAGCUCAAUCUCUGCUACAGUAACUUCAUCUGGUAGACGAUCAGGGCGAGUGUAGUUCCCUAACGCGGAUAAAGACUAGCUUAACAGAUAACAGAGGGAGACACAACUAGGGAGACUACGACUCGGCCUAGAUGUAUAUCAUGGCAAAAUCAUUCCCUAAGUUAAGUUCUGAGCUAACUGGCAAGGGAGCCAGCCUAUCCUAAAGAUAUGGCUUGCCACAGGAAGCAAGCCACACACACACUUAACUUGCCAGGAAAGCAGCAAGCAACAUACUUGCAAGUUUGAAGCAAGUCUAAACUAACUAACUUGCACAGGAAGCAAGUCAAACAAUCCUCACUUGCCACAGAAGCAAGGUCAAACAUCCUACAAGCACAGAUAGCAACACUAACACAAGCAAGUGGCUCAACAAGGGUUAGGUUUUAGUCGAGGUCAUAUCAACCUCAACAAACCAACCUCUGAAUGAGGGAUGUGCUCUUAAACUUGCCAUUGGGGGUAAGGUGAGCAGCAGAUGAAGGGAGAUUGAGGGGUGUGCUCAGUUGCUUCUAUCCCGGCCUGGGAGAGCUCAAGAAGAAUGUGUGGCUAGAAAAGUGGGACCUUCUACACAUUUAAAACGAAUGACUCAACUGUACAAUGUAACAAGAUCUUGGGUUUGUAUUGAAAUUGAUCAAAUUCCUUGAUUGGCUUGCACUUGAGGCAAAUGAGGCAAUGCAAUGCUAUGCAAUGGACCAUGAUAUGCUAGGACCUAAUAUGAAAAUGUAUGUACAAUGAUAGGUGCAAAUUUGAGGUGCUACAACUCCCAUUUGAUUUGCAUGGCUACGAUACUUUAGUAUGUACUAUUGGUGUAAGCCCUAGAGGCCAAUACUUUUGGUACUUGUAUCGAAUUAUUUAUUAAUAAUAAAAGGCUUUUUUCUUUAUUAUGUUUGUUUAAUAAAGUCCCUAAAAUAGCUAGUCCGUUUAAUGUAUCAAGUGUGACUUAAUCACGAGAUCCCAUUAAACAUAAGGAUAUUAUUCUUAAAGUAUCCGUAGUCGAGUUUUGUUGUGAAGUGGGAUAACAUUAAAGCAUUAAGACUAUUAUGUACAUAGACUGAUGAUCACAUCUCAUGGAUCAUGGAUAAUGAGUUAUCAAGUCUUAAACAUAUCUAUGAAUAUUAGCAAUAAUAUUUAUACUGGAUUGACCCGCUAUGAGAAUACUAUAUAGAGUGUUAUGCAAAGUGUCAUAAGUUAUUCUCAUGGUGAUAGUGGUGUAUACCACCCUUCGACCUGAAACCACUAUGGACCCUAUAUGUAGAGUCGAGUGCUUUAUUGUUGAUAAAACAUUGUCCGUAACUGAAUGACCAUAAAGACAGUUGAUGGGUACUCCACGAAGCAUGCUGAGGGACAUGAGUGACCUAGAUGGAAUUUGCCCAUCCUGCGUAACAUGAUAAAUGUCUACGGGCUCAAUAUUGAACUGGACAAUGAUAACACGGUAUAUGCCUUGUGUUCAAUAUAGAUAUAAGGGCAAAAUGGUAAUUGUAUACAUAAGUAUUAUCACAUAAGGAUUUUUCAAAUCACAUGUCAUUUUCGUGUCUUGGGUAACAGUGAUGUGUUGCUAGAUACCGCUCACUGCUUAUUAUGUUAAAUACGUGAUUUAAUAUAAUUGUCAAUGUCGCGAAAACCUACAGGGUCACACACAAAAGGACAGAUUGAUGAGAGAUAAAGUAAAUAAGGAACACCGUAAGGUACGAUGCACUUAAGUGAAUUGUAGAACAUCGUAAGAUACGGUGUACUUAAGUAGAAUACGAAAUAUGGCAAGGUACCAUGCGCUUAAGUGAUUUUGGCAUAUCAUAAGAUAUGGGCCACAUACACUUAAGUGGGUUUUUUAGCUUACAGCCCACACAAGUGGUUCUAUAAAUAGAACCCUUGUGUAGAAUCAUUUAUUUAGAUGAAAAUUAUGUUUCUCUCUCUCUCUCACUCACACACACACACACACUCAAUGCCUUCAUUCGUAGCAGUUAGCACUGAGAUUGAAGGAAUCCGUUCGUGUGGACUAAGUAGAGGCAUUGUCACCAUUUAACGUUCGUGAUCACUCCUUAGAUCUGCAUCAAAGGAUUCAAUCGCCACAAGAAGCAACGAUUCUAUCACUGAUUAUGCCCACUCGUAAGGAUCACUAAAGGAGAAUUUUUUUUAAUUCUGCUGUGUUUUUGGAUCGCCAUUCUCCUUCAUGUACUUCCACUAGGGAACCCCCGUUCUCUCUUGUAUAUGACAUGGAUGUAGUUCUGCCUGUUGAAGUGGAGAUUCCCUCCUUGAGGAUAUUGACCGAUGUUACACUCGACGAAGCUGAAUGUAUACAUGCAGGGCUUUAUCAACUAAAUCUCAUUGAUAAAAAGCUCUUGGAAGCUAUCUGCCAUGACCAGUUAUACUAAAAGCGUCUCAAGAAGGCAUUCAACAAAAGGGUUUUUCCUCAGAAUCUCAAGGCAUGAGACCUGGUGUUGAGAAGAUUCUGCCUAUUCAUACCGAUCCAAGGGGCAAACUGAAGCCUAACUACAAAGGCUCAUACGUUGUGAGGAAGGUUUUCUCUAGAGGAGCAUAUAUACUUCAACUAUGGAUGGUGAAGAUCUUCCAUCCCCUCUGAACGCAUACGCAAUAAAAAAAAUACUACGCUUAAGAAAAAAAAGAAAACCCGAUAAGUUAAAAACUCCAAGGGACAACCUAGGCAAAAGGGUAUCCUGGUAGGCUAAAAACCCAAAAGGAUGGUCUAGGCAAAAUCUAGGGAUUUAUAAAGCGAGAGACUGCGGUCUACGAAGAAUCUUUGAAUCCAUCAUAACAAUUCUGAAUGGAGAAUCAAUCUGAUCACUUUCUUCAUAAGCAAGAUCCAAGGACCUUCAAAGACAUAGGGAUUAUAGCAAAAAUUAGAACUUAGUGGAAAUCCAAUAUUUUCUCAUUGCCAUUAUUGUUUUUCCAUUUCUUUUAGCCAUCACCAUUUUUAGGAAUUGCUCCCUCAUGUAAUUUACCCAUUUAUGGGUUUAUCUCUUAUCAAGGAAAUCUUUUUUCAUCAAAUAUGCUCAAUACUUUUAUUUUUGUGCUCUAUGUGUGAAAUGCGAAUUUCUUUAAUAAAUAUUACAUUAAAAAAAUUGGGGAUAAUAAUAAAAAGUUUUGAAGGAAAAACAAGAAAUUACUUUACUUUCAAAGUGUCUAAAGGUAACCACGGUUCCAAUGAGCUUGGUAUACAAAGACACCACAAAGCCACAAAGUCCCUUGGACUUGACCAGGUCAAGGAAUCCUUAUCAGGAUGAUCAGCGACCAGCUGUAGAUGGACCAAAUGCAGUCUGAACAUCAGAAGAUCUAGAUUACGAUGUCGAAAAGUUAGAGUUCCACUCUCCCCAGGAAGACUUAAAGCACAACCUUGUUUGGCACCCCUCCGAAACCCAAUCGUUAUUGGCACCCCCAAUAAAUGUUAACCAUAAAUCCCAACCAUGCUUGGCACAAUCCGCAGACCAUGCAUUUUCACAUCCCCAGCAGCCCUAGCAUACAUUGACAUUUUACAUAUAUAACAUUGCAUCAUAGUAUACACUUUAAAAUGGGACAUGCAUGCUUAGCAUAAGCCUCAUUCAAGUAUUUCUCAAAAGCACAAAUUUUCUUAUAAAUAUCCUCAACAAAUACGUAUGGCAAGAUUCCCUCAGAAUAUUUCUUCCCAAUAUUUGCUAGGGAUUAUUGUAGUGGUAAAUUCAUGACCAUUAAGCUAUGGAUAAACUUAACGUCAAUAAAACCAGUAUCGACACUGUGCUUUUAUUGUUUCCAAAGGAAAAGGUAAAAGUACGAACAAAACCCAAAGAUAAGUAGUUUUCAAAUCAAAACUAAUAAAAUGCCAGAGAUUACAGGUAAGGGGGUUGGUUACACAGAGGAAAAGUGUUAGCACCCAAAGUGUCCUAGGUACUCCUAGGGAGCCCUUUUUUAUGUGUGUAUGUGUUUUUGGUACAAAAGAUGUUUGAGAAAAAUAGAGUGUGAGGAUGAAAAAAGAAUUCAUUGAUUAUUUUUUUGUGUUUGACAAGACCUUCAGACUUGUGCCUACGUACCAACAUGAAAAUGAGGGAUCAAAACCUCGUAGUUAGUGGUAUCAAUUUCAAAAUGAGUGGAUUGCUUUUAAUCAAAACUUUAAGUUUAAAGAAGCACAACGGGCCUAAAAGUUUGAAUGGGUGUUAGUUCUUUUUGUCUUUUGAAAUUUUAAGUCAAUAUGACUAGAUUUAUUUACAAGUUUGAUUUAAGAAAACAGUUUAAAAACUCAUUGGCAUAAGGCCAAAGUUUAUAUUUUUGAAAUAAAGUCUAAGUUUUGAAAUCACAAGCAAAGAAAGUUUUUGAAAAAGUGGGGAGAGAUUUUGAAAUUUAAGAAGUGGGAGGAGAUGAAGAGACUAAUCUUAAGCAUAAAAUUAAAAGUUAAGAGUUGAAAAGAUCUGACCAAUGAGAUGCAAUCUAACAGACAAGAAUAUCAUAUAGAAAACCCAUUUUCCUUUUGGACUUUGAAUCAAGCAAUUACUAACAAACAAUAGCAAUAUCAGACAUCAUAAAGAUCAAGGCAUCAAAUAAAGAUGACAACAUCUAAGAAAACAAAUCCCAUAGCUAGAAGUCUUCUUUGUCUUCUCAUGUAUCAGAUGAAAUACUCCUUGAUUAACUCAGAAUAAAGCAUUAGACAUAAGAUCAAAUAACAAUUGCAUCAAGACCAUGUAGUAGAAGAAUUCAAGUGGAUCCCAAUAGUUGCAUCAAAUGAAAGCUCAAUUCUCAAUAACUUGGUCUCAAAAUGUUGCCAUUGGCCAAGUCCUUUUGCAUAUGGAAUGUUGCCUAAUCCUAAGUCCAGAAGUUCAAAUCAAGCCCAACAGUCCACCAAACAUUUUUUAGGGUUUUUGUUGCUUAUUAAUUAUUUUAAGGUCCUAAGACCACAAACCCACAAAGAAAAUAUACAAACAAAAUAUUUACAAUAACAAUAUAUGGCUCAAAUGAGCAAAGUGAAAAUGACAUAAACAUAAACAAGUUAAAUGAUAUGUAAAUGACAAUGAAUGGUAAAUGACUAGAAAUUAAAUUACAUAGAGAUAAAUGACUUGAAAGUAAAGCAAUAUUAAUGAGAAGUUAGUCAAAUGUUAGUUAAUUAUAUGUUAGUGAUGUUUUGCUUUUCAAUUGAUUAAGUCAUUCUUCGGAGAAUACUCAACCAUCUAUUCAUAAGCAUGUAUCCUUGAACCAAGACAUCUUCCAAAGGAAGGAAAAAAUACCAAGUUUCCACAUAAUACCAUGAAAGAUGGGAGACUUACAAUCUCGAUUACUAGAAUACUAUGCCUUUAGGGUCAAAUUUAGCUCUAUGUUAAGCAAUCGUAAUUGGACUUAUAUAGAAUUCACAACUAUCUGAGGUUGGGCAAUAAAAAUUUAGGUGUUAAUGCAUGUUAGAGAUUUGGUAUAAUGAACGAAACUCUUAAAACAUACCACACACUAAAAGAAAAAGAUCAAAUGAUGGACCUAUCUCAUACAUACUUAUAUUGGUUCAUCUAACACAAAGUUAUUGAUGAACCAAUUAGCCUUAGAAUUCUUGAGAUUUCAUUGGUCAAUGAAAGGGAUGGGAAAGAAUGGGAUUGAAGAUGGAGAGGGAUGGGAGAUGAGAGAAACACAAAUUGGUCAUGGAAUUUUUUUUAUCAAAUUAAAAUCAUUCAUUCAUUUUGGGAGAUGAAAUGUACAUUUCAUCAAUCCCCUAAAUCCAAUGAUUUUAACUUAACAAAAGUCAAACAUCACAAGUCAAUAAAAAAUGGCUCAACAUAAUUUCUAUACAAUUAAUUAAUUAAAAAAUUAAAUUAAAAUGCAUUUAAAUUCAAUUUAGUUUGGUCAAAACCUAAAACCUCUUCAAAACACCAAAUAAAUGGCCAAUAAAUUUAUCCUAGGUUAAACAAGGUCAAAGGACCUUAGGCAAAAAAAAUUCCAAUUUUUGAAAAGUUAGAAUUAUUUUUAAACAAUUAAAAAUAUGCACAAAAACAAUUAAUUCAUGAAAAAUAAUAAAAUUAAUCCAAAAAAUAAUUUUAAUUCAGAAAAUGAAAGAGGAAAUUAUUUAAAUAUUUUUGGUGAAAGUCCCAUAUUUUUUAGAUUAAAAAUGAAAUUAAUCAGAAUAAAUGGAUUAAACAUAAAAUCAAAAAUUAAAAUAAAAUUCAAAAAAACAAGGGUCAUCAGAUCUCCCUCAUUAAUUGAGGUGGCAUAUCUUAUGGUCACGCGUGCGCUAUCCAGGAUGCACCAAGUAAAACGUGUCACACCAAUGGUAAUCAGAACCAAGGGCUAAGAUUAAAACAUUUCGAAUGGAUCUGAUGGCUGAGAGGCGUGACAACACACCACUGGAGCUAGGACUCCGGUCUUCUUCUUCGGUGGACCUCACCGGAUUGGUCCACCAUCAACCAUCACUAAAAAAAACAAGGACAUGGAUUCAAAGAAAAAAAUGUUCAGGAGCUCGAAUCUGGCCUCAAUUUUCUCCAAUUCCACGUAUAUAAAAAGAUACAGGGAUUUGAAUUUUGAGGAUCAUGAACUGAGUUGCUUCAAUUUGACCUUAAAGCAACUCAAUCUUCUUACCUACAUUGACAGGACUUCAGCCAACCAAAAAUCAGAAAGAAUGGUGAAGAAUUGAGGGAGAAUCGAAGAGAUGAAAAUUCUGGAAAAUUACCUUUGAGGGAGCUCCAACCUUGCUUGAUCUUGAUUCCAAUUGUGAUUGGCUUUGUUUCAGAAGCUUGUAGGAAGUGAUUAAGAUUAGAAAAUGGCAUGGACUCUUGGAGUUUCAAUCUCAAAACAGAAUGAGAUUUGAAGCUCGAUUUUCAAAUGAAAACCUUCAAGAUUAUACUUUAAUGAGGGUUUGGAUUGCAGGUUCAAAGCUUGGGCAUGAGGUCCUUAAUUCUGAGCAAUGAGGGUUGUAUUUAUAGCCAAAGAGAUUCAUUUCCACACACUUCCAAAAAUUGUCAAUGCUAGCAAUUCACCUUGCAUGCUUGCAUGGGUGUGUGAUAGGCCUAUCAAGUGAUGUAUUCAGGUCCAAAAAUGAGUGAGAAUCAUGCUGAAAUCAUGUCAUAUGGUCAUGCACUUGUGUUUGAAAUGUGGAAGUGAAAAUCAUUCAAAUGGUAUCUCACAUUGCACCCAUGCGCAAGUUCUUCAUUCUUUGGCCAAAUGAGAUGAUCUUGGACUUUUUGGAAAGGUAAGAUCAACGGGAAAAACUUUAAUCUUGAACACUUUUUAGUUUGAAUCUUGGAUCAUGAUGAAUUUUGAGGUGGAAGUUUGGGAAAUCAAACAUAUUUGAAAAUUUUCUAAGUACCAAGUCAAAUGUUCACUUCUUCCACCUUAAAUAACUUUUUCUAUGAACUUCAAAUGGAAAAGUUUCCUUCAUAAAAGUUAUAUAUCUUUCAAACAUAUUCAAUUUGGUCUCAAAGUUGACCUUAUUUGUAUUUGGAACGAAGGAGUUAUGCAUUUUAGAAGUUGAGGAAAAUCACUUGUUCAAUGGUAAUGGCCCAAAAUGACCUAUAAUGUUUCCUCUUUGCACAUGCAUUUUCAAUUUGAACUAGAACUUCCUCCAAACAUAAAAGUUGAAGAGGUCAUCUUGAAUUUAAUCAUGGAACUUUAAUUGCUUUUAUCUCAUAAACAAUGAGCAAGUUAUGGUCUUGAGAAGUUGACCUCCUAACUAGGGUUCAGACAAAAUGACCUAUAAUCUUUCACUAUAAAAAAUAACUUUCCAAUCAAAACUAGAUCUAGAAUUUAAUAUGAAAGUUAUUUGGAAUGUAAUUAUGAGUAACUUUUCUCUUGGAAUCAUUUUCAUAUGACAAAAAUUGUAGGAUAUAGGGUCUAGGGAACCCCGGUUUUGACCAGUUGACUUUCUCUGGUCAACCAUCAUGUACCAUCUUGCUAACUUGACAUUCUAUUGAUUUUUGGGACUCAUGGAGGAUCAUAUAUGUGUAAGAUGAUGUAAUAUGAAGUAUACCUUGAAAUAUUUGAUCAAAUGUUGAAGAAACUUAUUGAAGAAACUUAUUGAAGAAGUCACACAAGAUACCUAGAUGAAUUAGGGUUCAAAGGCAAACAAGCUUCAAACUCUUGAUGAAUUCUUGAUCAAAAUAAAAUGUGAAGACCAUGGGGAUCCAUAUAUGAUGCGUAUAACCAAUUUGAACCAUUUCUUGAUUGAACUCCUUGAAUUGAGGGUCUCAAACCCUAGAUAUGAGCUUAAUAUAACAUAGGUGAGUAUACACACUACCUACCAAAGAAAUAAAGCUAUACAUAGACAUAUUUUUGGUAUUUUGGUUAGUAAAUAAUGAAAAACAAAGUAUGAUACAAUCAAAAUGUGCUUGGUGAUCUCUCCCAAUGCAAACUCAAUGGAUGAGGGGUAAGGAGGAUACCAAGGUACGAUCCCAAUACUAAUGCAUAUGAUGAGAUAGCAUGAAGGAUCUUAUGGUCAAAAUUGGGGUCUUACAACUCCCCCUAUUUAAGGACAUUCUAACUGAGGAUGUGAAGGUUAAAAUCUUCGUAUCAACUCAGUAGAAUGGACUUAAAUAACAACAUAUAGAAACAAAUUUUGAUCCCUAAGAGACCUCAUGAUACAUAUGAUAUGGAUGUUAAAAAUAAUCUUUAUGGGGGGAAAUGUUGCCACAAAGGAAAAGGAAUUCGGAGAGACUGAAAGUCCACAGAAGCAUAAUGCAUUCCCUAAGGAAAACUCACUGUGGAGACAGAGACUCUGGGGGAUAAAAGGUUGUGCGUAGGCCAGACUACGACUUAAAACUGCUAGAGACGCGAGGGAGAUUUCCAUGAAGAUAAAUUAAUGGAAAGACUUAGUCAGAGAUAAGGGAAACUGCAUGGGAAACAGGUAGAUCAGAAUAAAACUAAAAUACCUGAACCAAACUCAAUUAGGGAAGAAUGAUCUUCAAUACAGGAGUACCAUAAUUAUAUUAUCUAUUACCAGCUACUGAGUAGGAAGAUAAUAUACUCUAAUAGAGGGAUAUGCGUUAUCGGUUAGGGUAAACAUAUCAAGGAUGACUCGCUGAGGGAAAAGAGAUGUGUUUGUUACCGGUUACUGGGUAAGAACAAACUGCUGGGGAAAAUAUCAAAUAGGAUUUACAACUACCGGUUACUGAGCAGAAGGCCGAAGAGAGAACUUCCGCCACUGGUUAAAGUGAACAUAUCAAGGAUAAACUCAAGGGAAUAAUAUCUGUCAUCGAUUAAGAUGAACAUAUCAAGGAUAAACCACCUGGGGAAAUGGGAAGAAUAUCCAUUACUGGUUAAGGUAAACAUAUCAAGGAUAGACUGUUGGGAAAAGUAGGAAUUAUAUCUAUCAGUUAGUGGAUAGAAUACCAAAGAGAGAAUAUCCGUCACCGGUUAGGAUGAACAUAAUAAGGAUAGACUCAGAGGGAAAAGUAGGAUUUAUAACUACCAGUUACUGGGCAGAACACCACAAAGAGGAGAAAACCCGUCAUGAGUUAGGAUGAACAUAUCAAGGAUUAACUCUCUGAGAAUGAAAUAUGGAUUACAACCACCUUUUUACUGGGUAGAAAACCACAAAUAGAGAAUAUCUGUCAUAGGUUAAAGUGAACAUAUCUAGGAUAGACUCAAAGGAAGAAUAUUCAUCAUCGGUUAGGAUGAACAUAUCAAGGAUAAAUCACCUAGGGAAACAUAAAACGAAUCUGCUGGGGAACAAUAAUAGGAAGUAGAUUACUAUUACCGGGUAUUAGGUAAAAGUAAAGUACUUGCAAAUUAAAAAGAAUAUUACCAAUUACUGGGUAAUAGACUUACGAGGGACCAAAAACAUCUAUCUAGGUAAGAGCUAGAAAGAAACAGUCAAACAAAGACUCGAUCUGAUGAGGAUAGAACUUAGGGGGGAAUGGUUCCAUCCAGCCAAUCAGCUGGGGAGGAAGAUGAAAUGAUAAUCUUCCACGAGGAAAUAACUCAGUGGGGAAUGAGAAAGGUUAAAUUCUUUCUGUUUUAAGGGGAUGACUCUCUAUAAUUUGAGGGAGGACAGACACACCAAAUCUGUAUGGAGAAACAAUAUCACCGUAGUAGAGGAUCAGAAAUAAAGAAUCAAACGCAAUGACAUGCAUAAUUAAAUAUCUGAUGUACGAACGUAUAUGUAUAUGAUUGAUGAUUAUGCUGACAAAACAAUCAUAAAGGAUACAAAUGUCACUGACUUGAAUCAUCACUACAACACUUGACUGAUCUCGACAAGAUGGAAGCACCAAAUAGAGAAAAAUGUUGGGGAUGAACAUAAAUCAUCCAUCUCUGAUUAAUUCAAGCCCUGGCUGAGGAGAGAGAAAGGAUCUGCUAAGGACCUGAAUUGUCAACUCUGCGGGGAAUUUUAGGUCAACACCAUACCAAAUGGGAGACAACCUUGCAGAGGACCAUAAAUACUGCUCAAGUAUCGAUGCUGGCAGAAAUUCGGAGCGAACUCCGCUGGAGAUCAUAGGGCAAUAUAACUUUGUGUAGGAUCUAUGUGAACCGUUGAGAAUAUGCACCUACAACUCAGCUGGGGAGGCGAUUACAAACUCAGCUGGGGAAACUGAUUUUCCUUUGGGGAGGAAAAAGUGACCAAACUAACCGCUUGGGGAAGACCAACAAUGCUUUGCACUUUAGGACUCACCUGUUCUCAUACCGCUGUUGAUAUUCCUUACUGAAAUUGACUGCUUUUUAAAAUAAUUUCUUUUAUUAUUUAAGAAAAAUGAUUUUCAUUUAUUUUCAUAUUUAAAAUUAUCAUCAUAAAAGUCAAUUUUAUUUAGCUGAAAAAUAAAUAAGAGUAGAAACAAUUGGAUAAAAAGCUCAACUUUAUUAAAUAGAAUGGUAGUCUGUAAAUGACAAGACUCCAUAGAUCUUUACAAAAGAUUGAAAAAUGGUAAUUUACAUGGGAAAGGGAUACAUUGAAUACAAUGAUCACUAAUCCUUCUACCAACUUCAAUGUCCAUUGUGCUCUUGGCUUCAGUUGAGGACGAUGAAUUAGAAAUGAGUGUCUUGCUCAAGAACGCUCUAAAGACUGGAGAUCAACCGAAGGCAAUUACUUGCCAUGAUCCCUAAUUUUUUGCAUAGAUUUCCCCAAGGUGGGGUACUCAAUCUAUCGGGAUAAAUUUCCUAUUUUAUGUCUCUAAUUUUUGCUUGGAUUUCCCUUCCAGGUUUUCAAUCCACCGAGACGCUCAUUUUCGCCUAAGCCGCCCUUUGAGGUUUUCAACUUAGCGAGCUGUUCUUUUUCUUUUUAGGCGAAGUAUUUCUUGACUGCAUCUGAAUUUAUAGGACGAGUGAACUCUUCACCAUCCAUAGUUGUAAGAAUCAAAGCACCGCCUGAAAAGGCUCUCUUAACAACAUAUGAGCCUUCAUAAUUAGGAGUCCAUUUGCCCAUAGCAUCUGGCUUGAAAGAUAGAAUCUUCUUGAGCACAAGGUCACCUUCUCUAAACACACGAGGCAUGAACUUCUUAUCAAAAGCUUUCUUCAUUCUCUGCUGGUAUAACUGACCAUGGCACAUGGAAGUCAACCUCUUCUCUUUAAUCAAACUCAGCUGGUUAUACUUGGUCUGACAUCGAUUCAACUUCAAUCAACUUGGCUUCCAUUAGCACACGCCGUGAUGGGAUCUCAACCUCUAAGGGGUGCAUAGCUUCCAUGCCAUAAACAAGUGAGAAAGGGGUUGCCCAUGUUGAAGUACGAAUGGAUGUACGGUACCCAUGCAAGGCAAAUGGUAGCAUUUCAUGCUAAUCUUUGUACGACACAAUCAUCUUCUGAAUGAUCUUCUUAAUGUUCUUAUUUGCAGCUUCAACAACCCCAUUCAUCUUGGGUCUGUAGGGAGAAGAAUUAUGAUGUUCAAUCUUAAAGUCUUUGAAAAGAAGUUCCACUAUAUUAUUAUUCAAGUUUAAUCCAUUAUCAGUAAUGAUCUUACUUGGAACACCAUAACGACAUAUAAUCUGAUUCAUGAUAAACCUUACAACCACUUGCUUGGUCACAUUUGCAUAUGAUGCCGCUUAAACCCACUUGGUGAAGUAGUCAAUAGACACCAGAAUGAAAUGAUGUCCAUUCCAAGCUUUGGGCUCAAUCAUGCCAAUCAUAUCAAUUCGCCAUAUGGAGAAGGGCCACGAAGAGGAAAUAACGUUCAAAAGUGUCGGAGAAAUAUGAAUCUUAUCUGCAUAAAUUCGACACUUGUGGCAUUUCUUCAUAAACUUGCAACAGUCAAAUUCCAUUGUCAACCAAUAGUAACCUGCUCUCAACAUCUUCUUAGCCAUAACAUGUCCAUUGGAAUGAGUACCAAAGGAACCCUCAUGGACUUCAGUCAUCAAUAAGUCUGCUUCAUGUCUAUCCACGCAUCUAAGCAAAACCAUAUCGAAGUUUCUCUUAUAAAGCACAUCACCAUUCAGGUAGAAGUUGCAACCUAAUAUGCUCAAAGUCUUCUUAUCUUUCAAAGAUGCCCCAUGCGGGUAAACCUGACUUUGGAGGAAACACUUGAUAUCAAAAUACCAUGGCUUCUCAUCUUUGACUUCUUCAACAGCAAAUACAUGAGCUGGCCUAUCAAGACGCAUCACAGUCAAAUUGGGAACUUCAUUCCAAAAUUUCACUAUAAUCAUUGAAGCCAACGUUGCAAGAGCAUCUGCCAUCCGGUUUUCAUCUCGAGGGAUAUGAUGAAACUCAACCUUUGUAAAGAAAGUUGAAAUCCUCCUCGCAUAGUCUUUAUAUGGUAUCAAAUCGGGUUGAUUUGUCUCCCAUUCACCUUUGAUUUGAUUCACAACCAAAGUUGAAUCUCCAUAGACAUCAAGACACUUGAUUCUGAGAUCAAUGGCCUCUUCAAGCCCCAUAAUGCAAGCUUCAUACUCAGGCAUUUUGUUUGUACACUUGAAAGUUAAUUUAGCUAUAAAUGGAAAAUGUGUGCCUUGAGGAGUAAUCAUCACUGCCCAAUGCCAUUACCAUACUGAUUAACAACUCCAUCAAAUACCAUGCCCCAAUGGGAACUAGGUUCUGGCCCUUCUUCAAGCAAUGGUUCAUCACAAUCUUUCAUUUUCAAGUACAAGAUCUCUUCGUCAGGAAAAUCAUACUGCACCGACUGAUAGUCUUCAAUCAGUUGGUGAGCCAAAUAGUCAGCCAAGACACUACCUUUAUUCACUUUUUGAGAUCAGUAUUCAAUAUCAUACUCGGAUAACAACAUCUGCCAACGGGCAAUCCUCCCAGUUAAAGUAGACUUCUCAAAAAUAUACUUGAUUGGAUCCAUUUUGUCUAUUAACUAAGUAGUAUGAUUCAAAAUAUACUGGCGCAGACGCUUAGUAGCCCAAGCCAAUGCACAAUAAGUCUUUUCCAGCAUAGAGUACAGAGUCUCACAGUUGGUGAAUUUCUUACUGAGGUAGUAAAUUGCAUAUUCUUUCUUUCUAGUUUCACCUUGCUGACCAAGAACACAACCCAUACUUUCUUCAAGCACAGUCAAAUACAUGAUCAAAGGUCUUCCUUCAACAGGCGGAGAUAGAAUCAGAGGCUCAAGCAAAUACUCUUUGAUACUGUUAAAAGCUUUCUGGCAAUCUUCGGUCCAAUCACAAGACUGAUCUUUCUGAAGAAGCUUGAAUAUAAGCGUACAUGUGGUAGUCAUAUGCGAUAUAAAUCUUGAGAUAUAAUUCAAGCGGUCGAGAAAACCUCUGACUUGUUUCUCAGUUUUGGGCGCAGACAUCUCUUGUAUUGCUUUGACCUUGGCAGGAUCAACUUCAAUACAGUUCUCGCUGACAAUAAAGCCCAACAACUUACCAGAACAAACACCAAAAGUACACUUAUUAGGAUUCAAGCGGAGUUUUUACCUCCUCAAACGCUGGAAUAACUUCAACAAAUGCUCAACGUGUUAUUCUUCAUCACUUGAUUUGGCAAUCAUAUCAUCAACAUAGACUUCAAUCUCUUUAUGCAUCAUAUCAUAGGAAAGAGUGGUCAUAGCUCUCGGGUACGUUGCACCAGCAUUCUUUAAACCGAAAGGCAUCACUCUAUAAUAGAAUGUUUCCCAGGGCGUAAUGAAUGUGGUCUUCUCCAUAUCUUCGGGUGCCAUCUUGAUUUGAUUAUAACCGGAAAAUUCGUCCAUAAAUGAAAAGACUUUGAAUUUAGUUGUAUUGUCUACCAACAUAUCAAUGUGUGGCAGAGGGAAAUCAUCUUUCGGACUAGCUUUAUUCAAAUCUCUGUAAUCAACACACAUACAGACUUUUCCAUCCUUCUUAGGAAGUGGCACAAUAUUAGCCACCCACUACAGGUACUCAGAGGUUACAAGAAAACCAACAUCAAUCUGCUUUUGUGCUUCUUAUUUGAUCUUCACUUUCAUAUCUGGAUGAGUCCUUCUCAACUUCUGCUUGACCGGCGGGCAUUCUGGCUUCAAUGGCAAUCUAUGCUCCACAAUUUCAGAAUCCAAACCAGACAUGUCUUGAUAGGACCAAGCAAACACAUCUGAAUGUUCUCGAAUAAGAUUAAUCAACCCCUUCUUAACCUCUGGACACAGUUGAGACCCAAUCUUGACUUCCUUCACAUCAUCUUCGGAACCAAAGUUUACCAACUCAAUCUGCUCUUCGAAUGGCUGAAUGGCUUUUUCCUCAUGCUCAAGUAGACGAGAUAAUUCAUCAGAUACUUUUUCAUCACUAGUCUCUUCCUUAACCUCAAACACGGGGAGAUCAAAGUUUGGAGAGGGAGUAGGAUCAUUGUAUUCAAUGGGUCAGGGAACCAACCUGCAUAAUGAUUUGAUAUUUUGAUUUUAGAGAAGUUAAUUGUGACCAAAUAUUAUGCAGAUGGACAAUUAUUAUUUAUUUUUAUGUUUUUUGUGAUUACCAUUUUUAGAAAGGGAAAAAGUAAAAAUAAAACAUCAUAGAUGUGGAUGAAUAAAAUUGUAUUUUAUUGAUGAUAAUUGAAAUGCCUAACAAUGUUCACUUCUCCCUUAGGCAUAGAAGAAGGAUUUUUCUUAAAAAUGAAAAACAAAUUACUUAGUGCGGCGAACAAUAACAGGAACAUCAACAACAACCUAGUUGUUGCAAGUCUUGCCAUGCGUCACAAAGUUGGUGCAGUCUUCAUCUUUAUCAUCCUCAAUUACAGCAGUUGAGGAUUGUUCAUUACCAUGAAUGAACCCUCCACUACGGAAACUUGGUUGCACAUCUUCAGCUUUCACGUUGAAUGGCCUUUGUUUAAAUCCCAAUCCGGACCUAUUUUUAUUCUCAGCAAUUUCCACCAUAAGGCCCCAUUGAUCAGUACUGCCCGUCUUAAUAACUUUCUGAGCAUCCUUCAAAAAAGACAUGGGUGCCCCAGUUUUCUUUACUUCAGCAAUAAACAACGCUUGAAACGGAGUUCUAACCUCCUCCUCAGCUUCAACAUAUGAAAAUGAUGACAAAUGACUUACUAAGAGUGCCUUCUCUCCACCGACAACGACAAACUUGUCGUUCUUCACAAAUUUGAGCUUUUGGUGUAGAGUAGAUAUCACAGCUCCAACCUCAUGAAGCCAUGGCCUUCCCAAUAAACAGCUAUAGGCCGGGUGGAUAUCCAUCACUUGAAAAGUAAUUUGGAAAUCACUCGGACCUAUCUUGACUGGGAGGUCCACUUCACUAAUGAUAGUUUUACGAGAACCGUCGAACGCUUUGACAAUCACGCCACUGUAUCUCAUUAGGGCGCCUUGGUAAGAGAGUCUGGACAAAGUUUACUUCGGGAGCAUAUUCAAAGAAGAACCAGUAUCAAGCAACACAUUAGACAGCACAUCCUCCUUGCAGUUCAUAGAAAUAUGGAGUGCCAUAUUGUGAUUUCUACCUUCCUCAGGAAGCUCUUCAUCACAAAAGCUCAAGUUAUUGCAAGAAGUGAUAUUAGCAACAAUAUGGUCAAACUGAUCCACAUUAACGUCGUGCUCGACAUAGGCUUUCUCUAGUACUCUUUGCAUUGCUUCUCUGUAUGCUUCAUAAUUCAUUAAAAGAGACAACACUGAAAUCUUCGACGGAGUUUGGAGCAGCUGCUCCACCAUAUUAAACUCACUCUUCUUAAUCAAUCUUAACACUUCAUCCUCAUCAUUAGGCUUUAGUUUGUUGGAUUCACCAGACUGGCACACUGGAGCACUAACCAGAUUUACCACAAGCACAUCAACCUUCUUACUGACUGCAGCCUCUUCUACCUCCUUCGGAAAGACCGGACCGAAGACACGACCACUACGGUUCACCUUUGUAAUGUCAGUUAUAUUCACCACAAAAUUUGCUAUAGGAAACAUAACCUCUUGACCAUUCUCCACCAUUGUAGCAUUAUACUGAUAAGGCACAAAUUUAUCGGAUGCAUACGGGACGGGGCCCGCUAACUGUAUUACCAAUGAUGAUACCGAUCUAUUGAUGAUGUUACUACUGCUACUAUCAAAUUGAAUUACUACCCGCUCAGGGGUCUUGAACACAGGAACAAUUACAUUUACAUUAUCUCCCAAGUGACGGGACUGGAAAAUUCGAAUAAGACCUUCAUCCAUUAACCUCUGAAUAUCCCUCUUGACAAUGACACAUCCUUGAGGGUUCACAUUACAGAUUGCACAACCAUCAUAGUCAUGCUCACAUUUAUUAACCAGACAAAUAUCCUUAUGCAUUCUCACUAAGGAUCUUCUGAUAAAGCGUACGUCAUAAAUCUUGAACUUUCUAGGACAACCAUCUACCAUGUUGACUGAAGCAUUACCAUGAGUAGGUAGAGGAUUAUCUUUCACAUUCGGCUCACGGUCCUCAAAGGACACCAUCCCACUCUUCACAAGCUGUUGUACCUCAUAUUUUAAUGGGUAGCAGUUCUCGAUGUCAUGGCCAGGGGCUCCCUUGUGAAAGGCGCAAUGGAGUUCAUGUUUGAACCACCAUGGAAGUGGCUCGUGGAUUUGUGGUGGAUUUCUUGGUUGGAGUAGGUUCUUGAGAACCAAAGAUGGAUAUAAUUCUACGUAGGACAUAGGAAUUGGGUCAAAAGAGACCUUCUUCCUCUCAAAACUUUGUUGUUGAUUAUUGUUGUUGUUGUUGUAGUUCGUCCUUUGUUGCGGUUGUUGUUGACGUUGUUGUUAUUGAAUUGGAACAAAUUGAUUGUUAGAAUUGUUGGAAAAAACUGGAAUUACUGAUCAAACUUGAUGUUGAUGCUGACGCGGUUGAGGAUUCCUUCUGACAAGAGGCCUUAUCUGCCUCCCUACAGAUACUGAAUUGGUCUCCCAUUCCUUCCUUUUGGCAAAACCACUUCCAUAUUUCUUACUGGACGACACCUCUUCCUUAAAUAGAUGUCCUUCACGGACUCCCUCCUCUAACCUCAUCCCCAUGUUUACCAUUUCAGUAAAGUCACUGGGGGCACUGGAAAUCAUGCGUUCGUAAUAAAACAAACUAAGGGUCUUCAGGAAAAUCUUUGCCAUCUCAUUCUCUUCCAACGGAGGAUUAAUCUGAGCAACAAGUUCCCGCCACCUCUGAGCAUACUCUUUAAACGUCUUUUUAUCCUUUUGAGACAUAGACCUCAACUGCUCUCUAUCAGGCGCCAUAUCCAUAUUAUACUUGUACUGCUUCACAAAAGCUGCACCAAAAUCGUUGAAAGUACGAACACUUGCACUGUCUAGCCCUAUAUACCAUUUUAGAGCAGCACUAGUCAAACUGUCUUGAAAGUAGUGAAUCAGCAAUUGAUCAUUAUGAGUUUGAGUUGACAUUUUUCUGGCGUACAUAACAAGGUGGCUGAGCGGACAAGUAUUUCCCUUAUACUUUUCAAAGUUAGGGACUCUGAACUUCAUCAGGAUCUUUACAUUCAGUAAUAAGCAGAGUUCAACUGCACUCUUACCAAACAAGUCUUUUCCUCUCAACGUUUUCAAUUCCUUGCGCAGCUCAAAGAACUGAUCCUUCAUCUCAUCCAUCUUCUCAUAAACGUCUGGGCCCUCAGAUGGAUUAUAAUGGUAAAUGGUGUGCUCAACACGAGGCAAGGUAUGAAUAAUUGGAGGUGGCACAAACAUGACCGGGACAGAUGCCAGCAUAAAAGCCAAGGUAGGCGCCAACCUUUCAGGCAUGAAAUUUGGUGGCAUCCCCCAUAGGAAUCCAGCAGGAAUAGACGGACCGGAUUGAGUAGCAGCAAUAGGAACGGUCGAGGUAGCAACCGAGGAGAUGACAGUCCUCUGGGGAGGAGUUGCGGGAGUUGGUGAAGACUGAUUUUGCGCAACAAGGACAUACUCCAUCAUAGCGGUCAACUUUGCAAUCUCAUCCUUCAACUCUCUGUUCUCUUGUUCCAAAUGUUCCAUAAUUCUGGGUUGAUUGGCGCGAGUGUUGUAUCGGUGAGUCAGCUUGGCUAAAGCACAGAAGAAUAACCGAUAAGACAUAUGGCAGAAGAAAACCUAUUAUGCAAAUGAUGCAUGAAAUGCAAUGUUUUUGUUUGUUUAAAUUUCAAGGAACAUACUAUUUUAUUUGCAAGUAUAUAAUAAUAAUAACAAUUUUGACCAUAAACAUCUCUUUUAUUCAUAGAAUUUGGAAGGAUUACACUGAGUACAAUUUCAAAAACCAAAGUACGAAUACAAGAGAAAAGGAAACUAAUCAUCCAAAGGAUCCCUUAGCAACAAUGUCAGAUGAUCUGGUUGUGGGUGCGUACUUCCUUCGGAUGCGUCGAAUCUCGGUCUCAAAAGAUGUCUUCAUUUCAGCCUUCUCAAGGACGAGCUGAUCAACAAUCUCCUUCCUAGCAUUGGAAGGCUGAGGCAUACUAGAGGAAGAUGAACCCACUGGCUCUCUCUGUCUCUUCACUGCUCGGUCUUCAAGAAGUUCAAUAAGCGGAUCUUUGUCCUUUGAAUCAAGCUACAACUCCUCAUGCUUUUGGCUCAAAGCACAUAACCUAUCUUCCCACAUAUCCUUCUCUUGCUUCAUCUUGAUGAGUGCGUCUUCAAACUCCUCUACAUCUUGGUUAGGGAGAGUUGAUGGCUCAGUCAUAACCAAAGACAUAGGUCUCUCGCAAGCAUACGACCUCUUCAACUCCAAAGCUCUCUUCUUCACCCAAGUAGUAUAAGCUUCCAAAGCUACACAGUUGCACAGACCAAGCUUGGAUCUUCCUUACCUAUGCACAUUAUGCCAAGCAUGUAUCAUCUUAUGCUUCAAAUGUUGAGGUUCUUUACCCUCUUGAUAGAAAAGACCUUCUAACUGAGUGUUAUUAGGUUUGUCUCUCAAGGGGAACCCAAGUUGACGACGAGCCAAAACAGGGUUGUAGUUGAUUCCUCCUUUUGUACCAAUGAGAGGCACAUUAGAGAAUUCACCAAAACUAUCAAUAAUAUCCAAGAUACCCAAUUUAGAAUCAUACCAAACAAUAUCAUCAUUAGUAAGAGUCAUAAGUAUCUAGGACCACCGUAGACAUUGUUUGUUCUCUAUAAAAGCAGGAGUCUGAGGCAAGUGCGAAAUAAACCACUUGUAUAGAAGAGGAGCACAACACACAAUAUUCCCACCACCUUUAGAAUUCCUCAAAUGAAAAGAGAAAUACAUAUCAACCCAAACAUUCCUACUUUCUUCACCCAAUGAGCCUUAAUUUCAGACUUCUUCAGAUGAAGAGCUUCAGCUAUAACAUGAGAUCUAGAAAUCUCUUCCAAUCCACUAAAAGGAACCUUGUCAGAUACGGGUAUUCCCAAGAGAUGGGCAUACUCCUCUAACGUAGGCAUAAACUGAUAAUCGGGAAAAGUGAAGCAAGGGUAGAUAGGAUCAUAAAACUGAACCAAUACACUCAAGAGUCCUUCAACCACAUCGGCAGAUAACACAGAUAGAAGCUUCCCAUGACGUUGCUUUAAGUCCAAGGGAUCUAAUACAAAGGAUGAUAACUUCCUUAGCUCUUUCAAAUCAGGAUAUCUGAAACUGUACUUCUUAGUGUUCCUUAGUCCAUAAUGCAUGGUCUGAAAAUAUUUACAAAUAAAACCUCAGUUCCUUGAAGUUAUUUUCGUGUGAUGAAUGUUAUAAUGCGCAUGAAUGCAUGAAUGAAAUAAUCACAAACAAGGGAUCACACACAAGGCAAACAAACAAAGGUCAAUGGAUGGAUCAAGUCAUUGUCAAGAUCAAUCAUUCAUUUUGGUGGAUUAUGGUUUUCACCUUAUCAACACCCAAGUUCCAUCGAUAUUGACAAGACUUGAUCAGAUCAACCAAGAACCAAAGGGUUUGUUGUGAGUCACGAGCAUGGGUUCAGGUUAAGAACCAUCCCAAAGGAGUGUACUAAGGAUAAAAAACCUGUAGAUCAUGUUUUAAAAAGUUCCCAGAGUCUUAAUUCCAUCUAUUGGAUAUUAUAGGUUAGGAUGACUGACCCAUCAACCCAUAAUAUUCUCAAGAGAAACUCGUCUGAGUGUAGUAUCGUGUAACAACUGUUAUCAAGUCUACACUUGAGCAGUCUCCGCACUACGUCCUAAAUAGGCCAAGUUGGGUUAGAUGUUCUAUGGUUCUCAAUUUCUCGAACCCCAAAUCAGAUAAAGUAAUGCCUAACCACAAAUGACUUGUGUGACAUUAGUAACUCCAAAAGGGUCUCCACUAAGUAGAUGGUUCUCAAGCCAACUUGUUAAGGACUACUCCACACAAGUCGAACAUGACUAUACCAUCCUCAUAUCUUAAUUGCACUCAAGUUCGGUUUAGAACUUAUAUCACCACUCAGAGAUCACCAAGCACAACAAGCAUAUUAUAUCACACAAACAAGUAUACAAACAUCAAAUAUAUAAUUAUAUACACAUAAAAAAGUAGGCUAAACCCACUGAGGACUACUCCCCAGCAGAGUCGCCAAUUUCUGUAGCGGUAAAUUCAUGACCAUUAAGCUAUGGAUAAACUUAACGUCAAUAAAACCAGAGUCGCCACUGCACUUUUAUUAUUUCCAAAGGAAAAGGGAAAAGUACGGACAAAACCCAAAGAUAAUAAGUUUUCAAAUCAAAACUAAUAAAAUGCCAGAGAUUACAGGUAAGGGGGUUGGUUACACAGAGGGAAUGUGUUAGCACCCAAAGUGUCCUAGGUACUCCUAGGGAGCCUUUUUUAAUGUGUGUAUGUGUUUUUGGUACAAAAGAUGUUUGAGAAAAAUAGAGUGUGGGGAUGAGAAAAGAAUUCAUUGAUUAUUUUUUUGUGUUUGACAAGACCUUCGGACUUGUGCCUACGUACCAACAUGAAAAUGAAGGAUCAAAACCUCGUAGUUCAUGGUAUCAAUUUCAAAAUGAGUGGAUUGCUUUUAAUCAAAAGUUUAAGUUUAAAGACGCACAAAGGGCCUAAAGUUUGAAUGGGUGUUAGUUCUUUUUGUCUUUUGAAAUUUUAAGUCAAUAUGAUUAGGUUUAUUUAUAAGUUUGAUUUAAGAAAAGAGUUUAAAAAUUCAUUGGCAUAAGGCCAAAGUUUCUAUUUUUGAAAUAAAGUCUAUGUUUUGAAAUCACAAGCAAAUAAAGUUUUUGAAAAAGGGGGAGAGAUUUUGAAAUUUAAAAAGUGGGAGGAGAUGAAAGGACUAAUCCUAAGCAUAAAAUUUAAAGUUAAGAGUUGAAAAGAUCUGACCAAUGAGAUGCAAUCCAACAGACAAGAAUGUCAUAUAGAAAACCCACUUUCCCUUUGGACUUUGAAUCAAGCAAUUACCAACAAGCAGUAGCAAUACCAAACAUCUUGAAGAUCAAGGCAUCAAAUAAAGAUGGCCACAUCCAAGCAAGCAAAUCCCAUAGCUAGCAGUCUUCUUUGUCUUCUCAUGUAUCAGAUGAGAUACUCCUUGAUUAACUCAGAAUAAAGCAUUAGACAUAAGAUCAAAACAACAGUUGCAUCAAGACCAUGUAGCAGGUGAAUUCAAGUGGAUCCCAAUAGUUGCAUCAUAUGAAAGCUCAAUUCUCAAUAACUUGGUCUCAAAAUGUUGACAUUGGCCAAGCCCUUUUGCAUAUGGAACGUUGCCUAAUCCUAAGUCCAAAAGUUCAGAUCAAGCCCAUUAGUCCACAAAACAUUUUUUUAGGGUUUUUGUUGCUUAUUAAGUAUUUUAAGGUCCUAAGACUACAAACACAAACAAAAUAUACAAAAAAAUAUUUACAAUCACAAUAUAUGGCUCAAAUAAGCAAAGUGAAAAUGACAUAAACAUAAACAAGUUUAAUGAUAUGUAAAUGACAAUGAAUGGUAAAUGACUAGAAUAUAAAUUACAUAAAUAUAAAUGACUUGAAAGUAAAGCAAUAUUAAUGACAAAUUAGUCAAAUGUUAGUUAAUUAGAUGUUAGUGAUGUUUUGCUUUUCAAUUGUAUAAGUCAUUCUUUGGAGAACACUCAACCAUCUAUUCACAAGCAUGAAUCCUUGAACCAAGACAUCUUCCAAAGGAAGUAAAAAAGGCUAAGUUUCCACAUAAUACCAUGAAAUAUGGGAGACUUACAAUCUCACUUACUAGAAUGCUAUGCCUUUAGGGUCAAAUUUAGCUCUAUGUUAAGCAAUCGUAAUUGGACUUAUGUAGAAGUCACAACUUCACAUAAUACCAUGAAAUAUGGGAGACUUACAAUCUCACUUACUAGAAUGCUAUGCCUUUAGGGUCAAAUUUAGCUCUAUGUUAAGCAAUCGUAAUUGGACUUAUGUAGAAGUCACAACUAUCUGAGACUGAAUAAUAAAAAUUUAGGUGUUAAUGCAUGUUAGAGAUUUGGUAUAAUAAAACAAACUCCUAAAAUAUACCACACACUAAAAGAAAAAGAUCAAAGGAUGAACCUAUCUCAUCCAUACUUGUAUUGGUUCAUCUAACACAAAAUUAUUGAUGGACCAAUUAGCCUUAGGAUUCUUGAGAUUUUAUUGGUCAAUGAAAGGGAUGGGAAAGAAUGGGAUUGAACAUGAAGAGGGAUGGAAGAUGAGAGAAACACAAAUUGGUCAAGGGAGGAAUUUUAUCAAAUUAAAAUCAUUCAUUCAUUUUGGGAGAUGAAAUGUACAUUUCAUCAAUCCCCUAAAUCCAAUGAUUUCAAACUUAAUAAAAGUCAAAUCAACCUUGACCAAGGCCCAAACACAUAGUCUAACAUCACAAGUCAAUGAAAAAUGGCUCAACAUAAUUUUUAUACAAUUAAUCAAUUAAAAAAUCAAAUUAAAAUGCAUUAAAAUUCAAUUUAGUUUGGUCAAAACCUAAAACCUCUCCAAAACACCCAAUAAAUAGCCAAGAGAUUUAUCCUAGGUCAAACAAGGUCAAAGGACCUUAGACAAAAAAUUUCAUGAUUUUUGAAAAGUCAGAAGUAUUUUUAAACAAUUAAAAUUAUGCAUAAAAACAAUUAAUUCAGGAAAAAUAUCAAAAUUAACCCAAAAAAUAAUUUUAAUUCUGAAAAUGAAAGAGGAAAGUAUUUAAAGAUUUUUGGUGAAAGUCCCAUAUUUUUUGGAUUAAAAAUGAAAUUCAUGUGAAUUAAUCAAAAUAAAUGGAUUAAACAUAAAAUCAGAAAUUAAAAUAAAAUUGAAAAAAACAAGGGCCAUGAGAUCUCCCUCAUUAAUUGAGGUGGUAGAUCUGAUGGCCACUCGCGUGCUAUCCACGAUGCACCAAGUCAAACAUAUCACAUCAAUGAUAAUCAGAACCAAGGGCUAAGAUUAAAACAUUUUGAAUGAAUCUGAUGGUUGAUAGGCGUGAUAACACACCACCGGAGCUAGGGCUCCGGUCUUCUUCUCCGAUGGACCUCACCGGAGUGGUCCACCAUCAAGCAUCACUAAAAUAAAAAACAAUGACAUGGAUUCAAAGAAAAAAUGCUCAGGAGCUCGAAUCUAACCUCAAUUUUCUCCAAUUCCAAGUAUAUAAAAAGAUACAGGGAUUUGAAUUUUGAGGAUGAUGAAAUGAGUUACUUCGAUUUGACCUCAAAGCAACUCAAUCUUCUCGCCUACCUUGAUAGGACUUCAACCAACCAAAAAUCACAAAGAAUAGUGAAGAAUUGAGGGAGAAUCGAAGAGAUGAAAAUUCUGGAAAAUUACCUUCGAGGGAGCUUCAACCUUGCUCGAUCUUGAUUCCAAUUGUGCUUGGCUUUGUUUCAGAAGCUUGUAGGAAGUGAUUAAGAUCAGAAAAUGGCUUAGACUCUUAGAGUUUCAAUCUCAAAACAGAAUGAUAUUUGAAUCUUAAUUUUCAAAUGAAAACCUUCAAGAUUAUCCUUUAAUGGUGAGGGUUUAGAUUAUAGGUUCAAAACUUGGGCAUGAGGUCCUUAAUUCUGAGAAAUGGAGGUUAUAUUUAUAGCCAAAGAGAUUUAUUUCCACACACUUCCAAAAAUUUCCAAUUUUAGAAAUUCACCUUGCAUGCUUGUGUUUGAAUCAUGCUGAAAUCAUGUCACGUGGUCAUGCAUUUGUGUUUGAAAUAUGGAAGUCAAAAUCAUCCAAAUGGUAUCUCAUAUUGCACCCACGCACAAGUCCUUCAUUCUUUGGCCAAAUGAGAUGAUCCUGGACUUUUUAGAAAGGUGAGAUCAAGGGGAACAACUUUCUUGUGGAACACGUUUUCAUUUGAAUCUUGGAUCAUGAUGAAUUUUGAGGUGGAAGUUUGGGAAAUCAAAUAUAUUUGAAAAUUUUCUAAGUACCAAGUCAAAUGUUCAUUUCUUCCAUCUUAAAUAACUUUUUCUAUGGACUUCAAAUGGAAAAGUUUCCUUCAUAAAAGUUAUAUAUCUUUCAAACAUAUUCAAUUUGGUCUCAAAGUUGACCUCAUUUGGUUUUGGAACAAAGGAGUUAUGCAUUUUAGAAGUUGAGGAAAAUCACUUGUUCAAUGGUAAUGGCCCAAAAUGCCCUAUAAUGUUUCCUCUUGGCACAUGCAUUUUCAAGUUGAAUUUGAACUUCCUCUAAAAUAAAAGUUGAAUUAGAGAUAUUUAAUUUUAUCAUGGAAUUUGAAUAACUUUUAUAUCAUAAAAAUUGAGCAAGUUAUGGCUUGGGAAGUUGACCUCCAAACUAGGGUUCAAACAAAAUGACCUAUAAUCUUUCACCAUAAAAAAUGACUUUCCAAGCAAAAAUAACUCUUGACUUAAACAUGAAAGUUGUUUGUAAUGUCAUUUGGAGUUAUGUUUCUCUUAUAAUCAUUUUUAUAUGACAAAAAUUGUAGGAUAUAGGGUCUAGGGAACCCUAGUUUUGACUAGUUGACUUUCUCUGGUCAACCACCAUGAACCAUCUUGCUAGCUUGAUAUUCUCUUGAAUUUUGGGACUCAUGGAGGAUAAUAUAUGUGUAGGAGGAUAUAAUAUGAAGUAUCCCUUGAAAUGUUUGAUCAAUUGUUGAAGAAACUUGUUGAGGAAGUCACACAAGAUACCCAAAUGAAUUAGGGCUUCCAAGGCAAACAAGCUUUAAACUCUUGAUGAAUUCUUGAUCAAAAUAAUAUGUGAAGACCAUGGGGAUCCAUAUAUGACUCCUAGAACUAGUGUGAACCAUUUCUUGAUUGAACUCCUUGCAUUGAGGGUCUCAAACCCUAGAUAUGAGCUUGAUAUAGCAUAUGUGAGCAUACACACUACCUACCAAAGAAACAAAGCUAUACAUAGACAUAUUUUUGGUAUUUUUGUUAGUAAAUAAUGAAAAACAAAGUAUGAUACAAUCAAAAUGUGCUUGGUGAUCUCUCCCAAUGCAAACCCAAUGGAUGAGGGGUAAGGAGAAUGCCAAGGUGCGAUUCCAAUGCUAAUGCAUAUGAUGAGAUAACAUGAGGGAUCUUAGGGUCAAAAUUAGGGUCUUACAAUUAUCAUCACAAAAUCCAAACUUUCCUAGCCGUUGAUAGGGAUUGUCAUUGUUAAUCUUUAAACCGUACCAUAUGUUGCUAGGGAUUGUCAUUCAAUCCAAAUCUUCCUAAUCGUUGCUAGGGAUACCCAUUACCCUUUGUAUUGAGAGGUUAUUAAUUUUCUUCUUAACCUUUUAUUAAGAAGUUCUCACUGUCUUUUGCAUGAGAAUUUCAGGUCUUCCCUAUCGUUUCUAGGGUUUUUCAUUGAAAAUUUCAGAUCUUCCCAGUCGUUGUUAGGGACUGUCAUUGAAUUUAAGUCUUCCUAGCCGUUGCUAGGGAUUCUCAACAAAACUCAAAUCCAUCUCAGCCGCUGCUAGGGAAUCUCAUUGCCUUUUGUAUUGAGAACAUCAUCACCUUGUCUUAUUAACCUUUUGUUAAGGAGCUCUCGUUUCCUUUUGCAUGAGAAGUUAAAUUUCAGACCUUGAUUCCCAACCGUUGCUAGGGAUUUUCAUAGUUAAAUUUUAAACCUUCCCAACUGUUGCUAAGGGUUGUCAUCUUUGAAUUAAAACCUUCAUAGCCUUUGCUAUGGAUUCUCAGCAAAUCUUAAAUCUUCUCAGUCAUUGCUAGGGAUUGUCAGCAAAUCUCAAACCUUCCCAACCAUUGCUAGGGAUUGCCAUCAUCGAGUUCAAAUCUUCCCAGUCGUUGCUAGGGAUUGUCAGCAAAUCUCAAACCUUCCUAGUUGUUGCUAGGGAUUGUCGUUGAAUCUCAAACCUUCCCAGUCAUUAAUAGGGAUUCCCAUCAUUGAGUUCAAAUCUUCCCAGACGUUGUUAGGGAAUGUUACCAAAUUUCAAACCUUCCCAGCCGUUGCUAGGGACUUUCAUUCAUCUUUUGUUGCAUUUCAAAUCUUCCCAGUCGUUGCUAGGGGAUUUUCAUUGUCCUUUUGUAUUGAGAAAACAUUUAUUCAACCCUUUUUUUCUUUUAUUAACCUUUUGUUAAGAUAUUGUUAAUCGGCUUUUCGUUAAGAUUUUCAUCAUUUUUUGUAUGAGAAACUUAUCCCCAGCAAAGUCGUUAUUCCCCCUUACCUUGCUCCUGGACCUUUUGUAGCAGGAAAUCUUUUCACUCACCAUAUUUUUCUCAUUGCUUUGUGAAUAAAGGACCUUGAUCCCCAGUGAAGUUGUGUUUUCCUUUUGCAAGACAUCUCUGUGACUUUUGCAGAAGAACUCAAGUUAUAAUUGCACCCUUUUUAUUUGCAUUUUGAAAAUGCAAUAAAUCUCGGGGAUCCUGCAUGGAUGUAUCAAGUACCAGUACCGAAAAGGCCCAUCAUUUGAAGAGAUACUGAUACAAUAUCAUGGUAUGCACAUUGUAUAUCAUUUCCUCAUUUUCAUACCUGCCCUGUUUCAUAUAGCAUAAUACUAUAUUCAAUCCACAACAAAUGGUUUCAUAUUAAAGCAUGUUUGCAGUCCCAUAAAAACUUUCUCACAAAUGCCCAUCUCAUAUCACCUUCAUUCCCAGUAGGGAUUUUUUUUGGAUAUUUUUGUAUUUAAUCCUCUCCUACCUCAAAUGUGUGAAAGUCAUUGCUAUCCAUACAUUCAGGUCGAAGAAGAUUUAGUAGGGGCGACUGUCAUACCCCAAAUUUACCAUACCUUCUACACAACUUCCAUGGCCUUAAUGCAUAGCCAUACAUUCCCCAACUCAUCACCUCAUAUGCAUUUGCGUUCAUAACAAGAGAUCAUGUUAUAUGGACUCAAGAAUGAUGUUCAUAUAUGAGGAUCACCAAGAUCUCUUUAUCAUGUUGGGAUAUGCUUAAUCUACCAUACACCCUAAUUUUCAGCUUCAAGCACUAUUUGACCUUGUAAGAUUGCAUAAGCCACCCAUUCACUUCUAAAACCCUAAUUGAAGGGUGAAUAAUGAUUGGAAGCGUUGUUUGUUCAUCUGGUCAUCCAUGUGCCUUAACCCUAAUUCUUUGAUCCUCUAUGACUUACCCAAGUCAUUAUUUGGAUGUGUGUCUUGUGCUUUGACCUUGGCCUUGAAGGAAACCCUAAUCCCCUACCUUGGGUAUGCUUGAACCUUGUGAAUCUAUAUCAUGAUACCUCAUGCACACCUAAACCCUAGUUUGUAUGGUUUUGGUUCUUAAUCGACCUUUUGACCCAAGAAACCCUAGUUAGGGGUGCUCAUCAUUGGUGGUCCAUCCGAUUACUUCUCUAGGCUUAAAGCCCUCUCAUAUGAGGUAUUGCCUUGGGGAUUGCUUGUUGGAUGUACCCUAAAACCCUAGUUGUGCCCUUAUGCUUCCAUGCUUUGAUUUGAUAACUGAAACCCUAUUUCAUGGAGUUUGUACUUGGUCAUCUCAUCAUACAUUUUCCUUCAAUCAUCCGCCUAAAUUCCCUUUCUUAGUUGUUUGAUCUUGGUCUAUAUAAGUUUGCUUGUGAUCCCUAGUUGGGGAUGCAUUUCAUUGGUCAUUUCUUGUUGAUUUGAUUCAUGAUCCUUUAGUCUAUUUACAUUUAUUCAAGUUUAUUUCAUUCAUCAUUCAUACAAGAGGUGCAUAAGAUCAAUUUUGGCCAAAGCUUGACUUUGGUCAACACUUGACUUUUUGGUCAACUUUGACCAAAGUAAACACAUCCUUUUAAAGAUCCCAUUUUAAUUCAAUAUUCAUACAUACAUUCAUUUUAAGAUCAUCCCAUGUAUAAGCAUAUCAUUCAUAAAAGAAAAUAUAAAAAAAUUAACUUUGGCCAAAGGUUGAAUUUGGUCAACAAUUGACAUUUUGGACAACUUUUACCAAAGCCAACACAUCUCUCUAAGAGACCUAGCAUUCAUAAAUUUCAUCCAUUUUAUGACAAAAUCAAAGUAAAUAAUGAUUGAAGUUUUGAUUCAAUUUGAAUUAAAAGGUUUCUUGCAUUACAAGUAUAAGCAUAAGUUCAUAAGCUUACAUUUUACAAACAAGCAUUACAUCACUAAACUACCUAGAAUCAAUGUAUUUUUGAACCAAAGUGCCAAGAAGAACCAAGGUUCUCAUGGUAGCCCACCCUUGUCCUUAUGCCAUAUAAAUGUUCCACAUACCUCCACCCUUUGGUCAAACCCAAAUUGCAGCACCUUGUACACAAUAACGAGCAACCAAAACAAGCAUGCAACAAAGCUUACCAACACUAUGAACAUCAGGUCAAUAGCUGCAACAACAAUUUCUAAACCAUGGCAUACCAUGCCAAUAAGCAUGCACAUCCAAGCUACUCGAGGCAAUACAAUCCAACAAACUGCAAGAUAUCAUAACAUAUCAGCUCAUGGCCAAUAUCCUUCAUCAGUCCAAAUGCAGCUUGUAUCAAAGCAUCCAAAUCCUGUAUAAAUUCCAAAUUUCCUGCAUCAAAACAGACACAACAAUAAUUCACAACAUCGUGUCAAUAAUCCUGCACCAUAAAACAUCACAAAGUCAUGACAAUCUACAUCAAGCUGCAACAAUGCGUCACAAAACUCACAUGAACAAUUGUGAGGGAAAAUAUGCCUAGUCCUUAUUUUAAUGAUGUCAAACCUCUCUAGUCGCCCACAACAUGUCUUUGGAUAAUAUCAUCAUAGCAUAAAAUGCAUUCAUGCUUUAACAUGUUCAAAAUAUAGGUUUAAUGUGUCUAAGCAUAUAGGAGCAUAUCUUAUAUGUGAUUCAUGCACUUAAUCAUAGUAAAUAUCCUAGGUUCAUAGGAGAUCGGUUUAAAUUGGUCAUAAUACAUUGCAAAACUCAUUUUGGAAGUUUAAGCUUUGUGAGUCGACUCAUGACUCGGAGCAAAACCUUCAGUCCGAACAGGUCGAGUCACAGGUUGACUCAUUCCUGGAAAACCUGAAUGAGUCGACUCAUCCACUCCUUACGUCGACUCAUUUCCCACUUUCAUUUGAACCAUAUUGCCACGGGUCCGAACAGGCCGAGUCAUAGGUCGACUCAACCCUGAAAUAAACUUUGUUUGAGUCGACUCAUCGCCUAUUUUACUUAAUUUUAUGCUGUGUAACUUUGCAAAAUAUUUCUGUUAUGUUAGUUAUUUUUCCAUGCAUCAUAUAAAUAUUCAAAUGUCCCUUCUUCAGCAAAUUAACAAGAAGACUGAAAGAUAUACACCAAAGUGCUCAUCAUCUUCAUUCUUCAUUGCGUUUCUCAAUAAUCACACAUAAUAAUCUUUGUUGAGCAUUGUGCAUUGCAACUGUGAUAACGUUCAAAUAAGACUGGAUUUCCUUAGUUUGGGUUGAGACUUUGUGUGGGUUUUUCUUGAAUAAAACCCUUGAGGUUUUGUCCUCCAAGAAUUGGGGUUUUUUGCACUAACCUUUGCUUCGCAGAUUCAGCCGAGUGAAAAGUUUAAAGAACGAAAGGUUCGGUCAAAUAAGUAGCGUAAAUGGAGGAUUGUGAAGAAAGCUUAGGGAUCAAGUGACUUGCGUUCGAAAUCAGCUGAGCUGAAGUUUUGCAGAACGUGGCAUUCUUGCAAUAAGGUAGCGGUAACCAGAGGUUUGUUCGAAGUGCUUGGAGGACUUGGUUUAACUCGAAUCAAGGGGAGAGAAUAGAAUAGGAUCUGCAACAACUCUAGGGGUUGAUUGGUGGUGAUCAUUUGUUCUCUUGUAUUGACUUUGCAACGUGUUAAUAAAAACAUCUCAAUUCUAGAUUUAGAAUUGAGGGUAGACGUACCCUAAGCGAGGACGAUAGGGGAACCACGUCAACAAAUCCGGUCUUGUUCUAUCUAUCUCUUAACUCUUUAAAUUAUGCAUUAAUUACGUUUUGUAUGAAAUUAAUCGUAAAAUCAAUAUUGCUUGAUUUGUAUGCAUAGCAAUUGUUUCAUAAAUUGUUGCAAUCACUUUGAUUGCAACUGAGUAAAAUUCUGCACAUUCAAUUUGAGUCAAAUUGAAACUUGGUGUGAAGUGCACACCAAGUUUUCGAUAAAAUUAAUCUCGCAUAAACUUAGUAAUAUUUUCCUUGAUCUCUUAUUGUGUUAAACAUUAUAAUAGAUAACGAUAUCAAGGAUCAUAGUGGUUAAUCGAUUGAUUUAGAUAGGGAUUGAUAUUCUCUAUCUUAAGUAAUUCCAUUCGGUUCCACGUAUAUCCAAUCUUUCCAUUAACGGAUAGUUUAGACGAUUACUAUCUAGGGUGCUUCUGCAACCGUUGAAAACUUUAAAAAGCGCAAAAUUUCAAAAUUGAUCUAUUCAACCCCCCCUUCUAGAUCAGUACUAUCGUCUAACAACAAUAACCUGCCAAACCAGUCCAACAACAAAGCUAGCAAAUGGUUUACCUCACAUUCAAAUGCAGCCGAUAAUUCAAGCAUAGCUAGGGAAAUGUUCAAAAUCAUCCAUACCUACAGCAAACUAUAUCAUUCUUGAGAAAUCGUGCAACAAACACAUAAAAACCAACUUGCAUCAGUCUAACACAAAACCUUAUAGCAAGAAUAAUCAUGACUACAUAAUGCAAAGCCUUACCAAACAGACCUUACAUCAAAAACCUUUCCUACAACAAAUGAGCCAGAAACCUGCACACAACAUCGUUACAUCAAUAAAAACCAUCAUUACAUUACCCUUGCAACAUAAAUGGACAUGAACACAACAUGCUUGCAUUAGACCCUGUAGCAAACCAUUGAGAUUUAAAUACACCAAAUCAAUAACAACCAUGACAAGUGAGCAUGCAGCAUUCCAGACCUAGUAUAAACCAGAUACCUGCCUAUAACAUGAAGACCAUUGAACCUGUAACAAACUUGCAACAUUCAACCUAUAACAGAUGACAUUCAAUCCAAAUCAUAAACCUACAUCAGUCCAAAUAACAACAAGCAUCAAGGCAAUGUGGUAACUCAAUGCAGCAAGCUUCAAACCACAUCAGCAACACACUAAUUCCAAACAAACUGCUACAUAACCAUGACAACCAAAGCAUCAAGCAAACCAACUGCAGCAGGCCAUAAACCUGUAAUUCAAGGAAAAAAAACCUAUAAGCAUCAUCAACAUAGCAAACCUACAAACAUCAAAAUCAGUUCCAUGCCAAGCCCGGUAACAAUCAUUUACAUAACCUCAUCAUAUCCUGCAUCAAUGCAUACAAGGACACAUUAAUCCAUAGAGUUUCACAAUAAAUCAUGAGUCAUACAUUCAAACAAGUUUAUUCAUUUUUACCGCAGUAAAAAAAGUAAUAAUCCAAUGCACUAAAAACACAACAAUCCAAAAAGCCAAGCCAAGCAAACAAAGGUACAAGGUUGCAGAUACACUUUUCAGAAAUAAAUCACACAAUUGAGCAAACAUGGUCAGCAACCUACCUUCACACCAAUUCCACUAUUCUCCUUUACCAUCAUUUAAUUAGAAAACACACUAAACCCUAAUUACAUUCCACUAUAAAAGAAAACAUUCAGAAUAAGCAAAGGGGUUGAAGAUAUGUGAAAAAACCUAGGAUUCAAGCCACCCUCACUAUAACUCAACCACCCAGUCCUAAUAUUCACUUGUUUUCAGAAACAGAAGAAGAAAAAACAAACAUACAAAGAGUAUUAACCUAAAACAUUUGGUGUCGUUGCUCCGGUCUUCUUCUCUAACGAAGCAAUACCUUCAACUCAUCCAUUCUUCAAACCAAAGUUACCAGAAGAAAAAGCAUACUUUAUAGAUCAUUAACUCUCAACCAAUUUCUUGGGUUCGUGCACUACCACCAUUUAAUUUUUGUUUACAGCUUUAGAGUUCCUUUUGUUAUCUUCUUCGAUUCAUUCUUGUGUUUGAGAAUCAGAGGUCUUGGGCCAUGGAUUCAAAUUCAGUAGAGUGAGACGAGCGUUUUGGUUUAUUUGGUCUCUAGAUAGGAGCUUCGACGUGACGGAGCGGGAAAACUGGUUUAAAUUUUUUAAUGAGAAGGGAGAGCCUCUGAGUUUAUUUUCUAAACUCCCUCUCAUUUUUGUUUGGGUUGGGCUUUGCCUUGCAUUUCUUUCCACGCCACCGAAUUACCGCCUACACCCUCCUUGGAUUUUGAUGAAAAGAGCUAAUGGGCCCAAGCACUUAGGCCCUUGUGAUUUUGACCCUUUUCUUUAUUGUAGAUCCUAUUUAGGUCUCCCUCCUCCCCCAUUUUAUUUUUGUUUUCAUUUUUAUUUAUUUUUCUAUUUUCUUUAUUUCAUUUUCUUUUUUUUUACUUAGUUUCCCUUUUGAUCAACUUUUAAUUUUUAUCUCUUCAUUUAUUUUUUUUACUUAAUCUAUUUCUUUUUUAUCAUUUAUUUUUGUCAAUUUUUCCCUUUUAUUUGGUCAUGUGGUUUAUGAUAAACUUUUGAAUAAUUGACUAUUGAUCCUAAGGUUGAUUAAACCUUCAACACUUCAAACAUAUUGAUGAAUGAUCAAUGGAUUAUUCUUGACACUUUGAGGUGUUGAUAGGCUGCCAUUUGUUGAUCAUGUUUGAAUCUCUUGAUGAUAGAUGAGACAUUUAGUUGUUUGAGCAUUGCCUUUCCAUUUUUCAUUUGUGUUGCAUUGUUUCAAGAGACUAACUUUGUGUUAUACCUCCAACAUGCCUAGCACAUAUAUUAUUAUUGACCGACCUCAAAUAAGCAUGGCUUCUACAUAAGUCCAGUUAUGAUUGGUUAACAUAACGCUAAAGUAUCCUGACUUGAUUAAAUCUUUCAUUUUGAUCAUUGACCACUAACAUUUGGAAUUUAAUGUGUGACUUGUAUCUUAUCUGACUUUAAUUUGUGAUUACUUGGUGAUGAAAUCUUCCAUACUUCAAAUCAUUGAUAGCUGGAUGAUUCGGUUGAUUCAAUCUUCUUUGAUUCAAACAUGUUGAUAAAUGAUCAAUGAUUUUUUUGACACUUUGAAUCAAAGAUAGAUUAUCCCUUAGUGCACCAUAUUUUGAGUCCUUUAACUUGUGGAUAGAUUACCCCUAGGUGAUUACCUUGUGCAACUUAACCUCUAGCCACUGACUGUUAUCAUUAACCAUUGACUUGUUGACCUAAUUUUUCCAUUUAUUUCUUGUCAAUUUAUUUUCUUGUACUUUAUUCUCAUAUCCAUCAUCAUUGUAUCUAUCCCAUGUAUCUAUGUCUUAUUGUUAUUUAUUUAUCAUCAUUGCAUAAUCAAAAAGAACAAAAACAUGAUAAAAUCAAAAGACUAAAAAUUGCAUUCAUCUGUGACCCACUGUUGGACUUAGAGGACUCAUUAGGACAAUUGCACUUGAACCUUGGAUCAUGAUUCUUGACCCAUUGCUCUGAUUUGGAAUUUCAUCUGUGACUUGCAAUCACUUAUUAUAAGAAUGACAUUCAUGGUACUACCCUAGAGAGACAUGUUCUUAAGCCCAUUAUCCACUUGUUAGCAUAUGUCACUUUGCACACACAAGGUUUUCUCUUGGGCUACCUUAUAAUGAGACCCUUUAUUUCUUGCAUUUGUUUCCUUAUAAAUAUUUGUGUAUCACACCAUUUCAAAAUCAAUGAGCAAUAAACCCUUUAUCCAACGUCAAGCAGAAUUUUCAUAAUCAAAUUCAAAAAUACAAUAAAAAUAUGAUUAUAAUUGUGCGCCACGAGCCUUAAGUGAUGGAGAAUGAAUAAGAAUAGAGCUUUCCUACCCUUACUCUGAGUAUUUUGGACACAAGACGCUUGGCUUGUUUGUCUGAAACAUUCACCUCUGCCCAAAGUCUUUAUUGGAAUUCUAAUCAACAACCAUCUCUUUUCAAACCUUAUUUUUUCACCUUAGGGCAUCACUCUGAAAAUCCUUUUCACGGUAAAAAUAACCAUUUUCUACUCCAAACUACGGAGCUCUGAUUCUUCAUUCCCCGAUGAUGAUACGUAGGCACAAGGGCCUUAAUCCUUUGCGAGCACAAUAAUAAAAACCAAUCAUUUCCCUUUCGUCCCGAUAGCAGAUAAGCAUUAAGAUAAGAUAAACACCCACACACGUAGAUAACUUAAAUGGUUCCCAUUAAGUACGAUGAAUGUGAGAGGUGUUAAUACCUUCCCUUUGCAUAACCGACUUCCGAACCCUAAAUUUAGUUGCCAGACCAAAUCUUUUCUUUUCUUUUCUUUUCUUUUCUUUAAAGGGUUUUAUCGAUUAUUUUCCCUUUCCUCUCUUCUAUGGAAUAAAUAAAAUCCAAUGGCGACUCUGUGUCAGUCCGGUCAGCUUUUGCAUAACGAUAGAGUGUAGCCGUAAAGAUAUCAACUAGCUCAGUGUCAGACAAUAGAGGUCGAACACGUGCAACCAUUUCUCUCCACUUUUGAGCAUAUUCCUUAAAAGUCUCAUUUGUCCUAUAAGCCUAAUUCUGCAAUUGUAAUCUGGUAUGAGCCAUGUCUAGAUUAUAUUUUUACUGUUUCAAGAAAACUUCAGAAAGAUCCUUCCAGGACCAUAUCUUACUACGCUUCAGUCCCAUGUACCAGUCAAGUGAAGCCCCAGAUAGGCUAUCUUAAAAUUAAUGAAUGAGUAAGGCAUCACUUUCAAUGUAGGAAGCCAUCUUCCUGCAAUACAUCGUGAUAUGACUCCUCAGACAACUUAACCCUUUAUACUUCUAUAGAUCAGGCACAUUAAACUUUUGAGGUAAAACCACAUUUGGCACUAGACAUAACUCUUUUACAUCCAUAUUGUAUCUAGAGAACCCUUCAAUAGCUCUGAUGCAUUCAUCUAACAAUUGAUAGUCAACAGGCUUAUCGAAAAGAUUAUGAUUAGCAAACUGACCUUAAGAAUAAGCUUGAGAAGUGAGAAAUUGAGAAGCUUUUGGAGUAAUUUGAGCAGGAUCUUGAGGAAUACCAUACCGGGGAAUCUGAGUAGCAGCAAAUUGAGGAAACACUUGUGGAGGAUAUAUCAUACCAAUAUUAACCAUCUAUGUACCUGGAUUAGAAGUUUGAGGAUAUUGGACCCCAUGAUAAACAUAAGGAGCACAUGGUGCCCCAAGAUGAACAUGCUGAGGUGCAGCAUUGACUGACAGUUAUGGAACAACAUUGGUAGAAGAUGCCCAAGGAUAGACAUGAAGUAUUCUAGGGUAGACAGGAUGGAUACCUUGAUAGGGGUAUUGCAUAACAGGUUGAGUGAUCAUAGGAAUAUGCACAUGCAUGGGAUGACCUUUAUACUCAUGCUCAAUUUCAUUAGGUGCUUCAGCAGUCACAUGCACAUAGUUUUGACGAGGUUGGUCAUGAGGUACCUCGUGGUUAUUAACAUCUAUCACUUGAGUAGAGAGAUGGGGAGGCAUUCCCCGAGGAUAAGUAGAAGCACUUUCAUUAGCUAGAGGCACAUGCACUAGCUAGUAAGGCACAAAAACUCCCCCAUUGGUAACUUGAGAAUACAGUUCUAAGGCAUCCCUUAGGGAUAAGCAUCAGCAUGACCAUUAGGCCUCAAAAUAGAGCCUGAUUGAUUGGGAACAGGUUGAGCAACAAUCUCAGUUGGAGUCUCAAUGGCAACAGUUGCAAUAGUAAAGUCUUUCUGAGUAUGAAGGUACUCUAAAAUGGUGUCCAUCUUCCCCUAAAAUUGAUCCAUAUGUCCUUGGAACUAGCCCAAGGUCUCCUUGUAAGUGACAUUUUCCUACUCGAUGUCAACCAUAAUUUUUGGACGAUAGGCUCUGUUGAGAUAUUUGUGACGGUGAGUCAUCACUUUUUCUGGAUGGAUGAAGGAAGAUGGUAUGAGCAUUUUGUAUUUUUAUUUUGAAUAAAAUACAUGAAUGCAUGAAUGAAUGAAUGUAUGCAAAAAGAAAUAUUUCAUUUUCUAGAGAAUCCUGUUAUGAGUAAUCAUAAAGCAUGAAAAUAAAUCCAAAAGAUAAAGGAAGCUAUGAAAAAUAAUCAUUUAUUCAAUAGGGAAGAACAAGGAGUAUAAUUUAUUACAAGUCAAAAAUUUGCCUGAUGGGCUACAAGAAGAUCAACUUUAAAUCUCCCAAAUACCACCCUACAAACAGAUACAAAGUGAAAAACAACCCUAUGAAUGUUAUGUGGGAACACAUUAGCAUAAGCUUCCUUCAACAAAACUGGGAGAUAUUCCAUAACAUGAUCAACAAAUUUUGCUAGACAUGCAUGCCUUUCCCUCUAAUACUGAGCAUCUUUGAGGAGGUUGUGAAAUAAGGUAUGGUUAGGCCCAUGCAGGAGGCCUUGCAGAAAAACUUCCUUCUGAUUGAGGAGAACUUUGAGAUGACGGUUGUGUCUUUCCCAAUGAGAGACCUCUUGACUGAAAUGAUUAACAACUUCUUGACUCUGAUGCGCUUGACUUUUCAACUCUCUGAUUUUUUCAAAACUCUCAUCAAGAUCACACUGACAUUGAGAGAGAGAAGCUUCCAACUUUUCAGCAUGGUCUUGUUCUUUCUUCAACUCUUUCUUGCAACCCUUCAGUUGGUCUUGAAGUUCUUGGAGUUAGGUCUUGUAGCUUUCCUCCAUCUCCUUACGAGAUGUCAAAGUUUGAUUCCAGAUAAUAACCAUUUUUAUAGCUUGAUACUAAGUAUCGGAAAUUUGUUUCUUCAUAGCAGAGAGGCCAACAUAGGUACCCUUAAGAGCAUCGUCAAUCUUCCUUAGGUUAUUUUGUUCAACCUGAGCAACUUCAACAGCUUUGAACAUGCUCUCUAUUUUCUGAUUGAGGUUAAUAUUCAAGUCUUACUUAUCUUGCAUGAGGUUACCAAGGUCAUAUCGUAGAUCAGUAUUCUCCUUUUCCAAUAGCUUGAUAGUCUCCUUGAGUUUGUAAAUUUUAAAGACAGGAACAACAAAAGGUCCAGGAGGCUUGAGGCUCAUAGAAGGUUCAAAAAUGGAAAUGGAAACAUGACUUCCUUGACCUUUUCUUUAACCUAUUGUGUGUAGGCUUAAUUUUCUAUACAAUUCUUUUUUCCCAGUUCAUCCCUUCCUUGACGGUGAAUCUCUCCCCAAGCUCUGUUAAUCUUCUUCAGCAACUCUGGAUUAUCAACCCCUUCAUGUAGGACAAGUCUUCCAAUUUCCUGGAGUUUGGUUUGUCAAGCAUUAGGUAGCCCAAUUAGCUCAGUCUUAGACUCAUGUUAUAGGUAAUUCCUUUUUUUACCUAUGAGGUGUACAUUAGAGAAACUACCACAGUUGAGGAUGAUCUUGAUAUCAUCGUAGUUUCAAGAGUACCACAAGAUAUCACAAGUAGUUAAGGACUUAAUCCUCUGAGACCAUUUGAGAUUUACUUUAUUCUCAAUAAAAUGACCCUUGUUGGGUAAGUAAGACAUAAACCAUCUGUACAGUAGAGGAGCACAACAUACAAUAGUUUAUUUAUCCUUCUGGUACCUCAAAUGAAUAGAAUAAUAGGUAUCGACCAGAAAAGUAGGAACAUGAUUCCUAGUCAUGAAGAUACGAAUAGAAGCCAAGUCCAUAAAGUCUUCAAUGUUAGGAAACAACAUUAUGUCAUAUAUAAGCAGAGCAAGAAUAACAUUGGAGGCGUUCCAACUUCUAGCAUCUGCAAAAGCGGUGGCUUUGUCCAUCAGAAACUUCAGGGUAAAACCAUGAGUACCACCCUUGGGUUUGAGAUUAAUCUCCGCCUCAUUAUUCUCCUAGUGGAGUGCUUCAAAUAUAUGGUGAAAUUUGGGAAGCUCCUUGUAAGAUCCCAAUUUUGAUCCUAAGAUCCAUCAUUCCAUCUCAUGACUUGCAUUGCCAUUGGAAUCACACCUUGGUAUCCUCCCCACUCAUCAUUCAUGGUGUUUGCAUUGGGAGAGAUCACCAAGAAUUUUUGAUUGUAUCAUACAUUAUAUUUCUAUGUUUACUAACCAAAAUGCCAAAAUAUGUCUAGUAUAGUUUUAUUUCUUUUGCAGUUAACAUGUGCAUCCACUUGUGCCUCAUCAAGCUCAGAUCGAAGGUUUGAGACCCUCAAUGCAAGGGAUCAAGUUAAAAAAGGUCUAAAUUGUUUCAAAGAAUCAUAUAUGGAUCCCAUUAUUCUUUAUUUGUCACUUUGAUCAAGAAUUCAUCAAGAAUUUGAAGCUUGUUUGUCAUGGAAGCCCUAAUUCAUCUGGGUAUCUUGUGUGCCUUCCUCAGCAAGUUUCUUCAAACUUUGGUCAUAGAUAUCAAGGGAUACUCCAUUUUUAUUCAUCAUAAGCAUAUAUGAUCCUCCAUGAGCAGCAAAUAGCAAAAGUACUUCAAGUUUGCAACUUGGUUCAAGGAGGUUGACCAGAGAAGUCAACUAGUCAAAUCUAGGGUUCCCUAGACCCUAUCUCCUACAAUUUUUGUCAUAUGAAAACUAUUCCAAGAUAAACAUUACUCUUUAUAACAUUCCAAACAACUUUAAUUUUGGCACCAAGAGAUAAUAUUGCUCAGAAAGCCAUAUUUUAUGGUGAAAGAUUAUAGGUCAUUUUGUUUAUGCCCUAGAUAGAAGGUCAACUUCCAAGAACUAUAACUUGCUCAAUUUCUGUGAUAUGAAGGUAAUACAAGUUUUAUGAUCAAUUUAAAUAUGUAUUAUCCAACUUUUCUACUUUUAGAAAGGUAAAAUUUCACUUGCAAGGGCAUGUACUAAGAGGAAACAUUAUGGGCCAUUUUGGGCCAUCACCAUUGAACAAGCAAUUUUCCUCAACUUCUAAAAUCCAUAACUCCAUCAUGCAACUCCAAAUUGUGUCAAAUUUGUGACCAAAUUGAAGAUAAUUGAAAUAUCUACAACUUUGAAGAAGGAAAAAAGUCAUUUAAAGCUCAUAGAAAAAUUUAUUCAAGGUGGAAAAAAGGUCAUUUGACUUUUAGCUUAGAAAAGUUUCAAGUAUGUUUGAUCCCUCCAACUUCCACACCAAAAUUCAUCAUGAUACAAGAUUCAAAUGGAAAAUGUUUCAACAUAAAAGUUGUUCCCCUUCAUGAUAGCUUUCCAAAGAGUCCAAGAUCAUUGCAUUUGGAUCAAAAUUUAGGGACUUGCAUAUGGUUAUUUUGAAUGGCCCUAUUUGGAAACUUUUGAGUUCAAUUUUCAACCAACAUUGCAUGGCUUCAUGAAGUGAUCUCAACAUCAAUUGUGCACGAAUUUGGACUUUUUGCAAUCAUAACUUGGGCCUAAAUGCAUUCCCAUGCACCCAUGCACACAAGUUACUAUUUUGACCAAUUUUUGAAAUGGUGUGGAAAUGAAUUCACAAGCCUAUAAAUACAUGUCCAUUGCCUCAUAACUAAGGACCCUGGCCCAAGCUUUGAUCUGCGAAUCCCCAUAACCUCCAUUGAAAGAAUACCUUGAAGGUUUCACUUGAAAUCGAGUUUUAGUUCUCUUUUUGUUUUUGAGCUAAAACUACAAGGAUUGAAAGCCAUUCGUGCUCUAAUCAUCUCCUACAAACAAGAGGAAGCAAAACUAAGAAAAAUUGUAUUGAGAUCAAGCCAAAUCACUGCAACCCGAAGGUGGAUUUUCAAAAACUUUCCUUCUUCGAUUCUCUCUUAUUUAUCCAUAAUUUUGCAUGAUUUGUGGUUGGCUGAAGUCCUGCCAAUGUAGGCAACAAGAUUGAGUUACUUUGAGGUCAAAUCGAAGCAACUCGGUUUGCAUACCUCAUUUUUAAAUUCCACAUAUCUUUUUAUAUAGUGAGAAUUGGAAGAAAUGGAGGUCAGAUUCGUGUUCCCCUUGAUUUUCUCUUCAAAACCAUGUAUGGAUCUUUCAUUUUUCUGAAACUUUUGGAUUGGAUUUGAUAUUUUUUGUGAAUUUAAUAGUUUUUGACUUGUUUUUAAUUAAUAUUAUAUACUUCUGACUUUCCAAAAAUUCUCAAAAAAUUUGUCUAAGGUCCUUUGACCUUGUUUGACCUAGGAUAAAUCCCUUGGCCAUUUAUUUGGUGAUUUGAAGGGAUUUGAGGUUUUCCCCCUUUUAAAAUUCAUUUUUAUUCAUUUAAAAAUUGUUUUUAAAUUGAUUAAUUAUUUAAAAAUUACGUUGAGCUAUUUGGUUGACCUUGAGCUGUUUCAUCUUCUGUUUGGCCUUGAUCAUGGUUGAUUUGAACUUCCAUUUGAUCAACACUAGUGGAUUUAGGGGGUUGAUGAAGUGUAAACUCCAUCCCUCAAGAUGAAUGGAUAAUAUUGAUGAGAUGAAAUUCCUCCCUCGAUCAAUUUGGGAUUCCAUUUCCAUUUCUUUUCAUCUUCAUCUCCUUCUUCCCCAACCCCUCAUUGACCAAUGAAUUCUCAAAUAUUCAAAUGCUAGUUGAUUCAUCAAUGACCUUGUGUUAGAUGAAUCAACAUGAGCUUGAUUGAGAUAGGUCCACCCCAUCUUAUUUUUGUGUGUGGCAUGCUUUAGGAGCUUGGUUCUUUGUACCAUGUCUCUAGCAUUCAUUAAGACCAAUAUUCUUAUUGCCCAGCCUAAGAUAGUUGUGACUUCUACAUAAGUCCAAUUACGAUUGCUUAACAUAAAGCUAAAUAUGUCCCAAAGGCAUAACAUUUUUGUAAGUGAGAUUGUAAGUCUCUCAUUCCUCAUAGUAUUGUGUGAAGACUUAACCUUUUUUCCAUUUGUAAGAGCUAGUGGCAUACUUGUUGAUUUAUGCAAGUUGGAGCCCUUUUCAUGGAUGAUUUCUUGGUUCAUGUGUUCAUGCUUGUGAGUGGAUGAUUAAGUGUUCUCCAAAUAAUGACUUAAAUAAUUGUUUUAUUCACUAACAUUUGACUAAAUUCUCUUUAUUAUUGCUUUACUUUCAAUGUCAUUUACUUAAUGCAAUUUAAAUUUUAGCACCUUUAUCAUUCAUUAUCAUUUACAUUUCAUGCAAGUUGUUUAUGUUUCAGUCAUUUUCACUUUGCUCACUUGAGCCAUUGUAUUUGUGCUUGUGAUAUAUUCUGGUGUUUGUGAUUUUGUUCUGCUUGUGGUCUUAGGAACUUAAAAUACUUAAUAAAAAUAAAAACCCUAAAAAAUACAUUGGUGGACUGUUGGACCUAUGCUCUUGACUUGAUCUGAGCUUUUGGACUUAGAAUAGGCAACACCCCUAUGAUGUGGAAAGGACUUGGCCAAUGCCAUUAUUUGAGACUGAGUCAUCUUGGCCAAUGUCAUUCAUCUGAUAUAAGCCUUGAGGGUCCCAUUGGUUUAUCUGUUUUUUGUCUCUGAGCUUAAGUUGUUAUCUUGAUCUUAGUUGUUUAUACCUGAUGAUUGUUUCUAUGAGUUUGCCACAAGGGAUAUUUAAUUUGAUACAUUUGAAGAUAUUAAAGACUGCUUGCUUUUGGAGUGCAUACUUGGAUUUUUGCUAUAUUUAUUUGAUGCCUUUGAUCUUCAUAUUAAUUGCUUGGAUGACUAUGCUUGUUUCUUGCUCAAUAGUCCAAAGGAAAUGGGUUUCCAUCUGACAUUCUUGUCUUGUGGACUGCAUGCCAUUGGUCAGAUAUUUUCAACUCUAAACUUUUAAAUUUUGUCUAGGGUAGUCCCUCCAUCUCCUUAUUUCCCUCUUAAAUUUCAAAAUCUCUCCCUCCUUUUAAAACCUUCUUUUAGUGUGUUUUCAAUUAGACUUGUUUUAAUGAGUAUAAACUUUGGCCUUAUGCCAUUGAUUUUCAAAACAUUUUCUUAAUUAAACUUGUGAAUAAACUUAAUCAUAUUGACUUUAAUUUCAAAAAGACAAAAAUAACUAACAACCUCAUCUAAUCCUUUUGGUUAUAUUUUUCCUUUUUAUUUUAAACUUUUCAAAUGAGAGCAUUUAUAUUUGAGUUAUCUUUGGUUAAUAUACAAUUCUCCCAUUCCAUGAUAUAUUUAAUUGUAAGUCUUUCCCUUUAUUCGGGGUUAGUGGCAUACUUGUUGGAGUCCUCCCUCUUAAAUGUUGUAAAGCACUCAUUAUCGGUGGAUGUUUGGUCGAGUAUUCUCCCAUUGAUAACAAAAGAUCUUUAAGAUUUUGUUAAAAUCAAUCCACCAAUCUUUGAAAUUUUACCACAAACUAUGGGAUUUUGAUCCUCAUUUUUAUGUUGAUACAUAGGCAUAAGACUGAAGAUCUUAUCAAACACAAAAAUAUAAUAAAAAUGAAUUCUUUUUCUUAUCCCCCCAUUCUAAUUUUUUAGCAAACAUAUUUUCAACUAAAAAUAAUUAUACACAAAAAAGGGCUCCCUAGGAGUACCUAUGACACUUUGGGUGUUAAUACCUUCCUUUUGUGUAACCAACCUCAUUACCUGUAAUCUCUGACAUUUCAUUAGUUUUGAUUUGAAAACUUCUUAUCUUUGGGUUUUGUUCGUACUUUUCCCUUUUACUUUAGAAACAAUAAAAGUGAGAUGGCGACUCUUGUUUUAUUGACGUUGAGCUAACCAAUAGCUCAGUGGUCAUGAAUUUACCGCUACACUCCUUUGUGUUGAUGAAUGGAACUUGAUCCUUAAUCUCAACCCCCAUGAUAUAAGAAUACACCUACAAAGUUGGAGCCAAAUGAUAGUCUUGGAAAUGGAAACAUCUCAUCAGAGGAUCAUAGAAUUGCACAAGAGUGUGGAUGGCCAUGAUGUUGGCUUCAAUGUUAAUGAUGCCUGAGAGAUUACCAUAAUUAUUCUUGAAAUCAUCCUUGUUAUCAAGAAUCAGACGAAUCCUCAAUCCUCUCAAAGCCUUCAACCAGGGUUCCACAAACUUGUAACUAUAAAUUCUUCUUCUUCCAGCACUCAUUUUCUUCUUGAAUACUUAACAAAGACUAAGCUCUUUGAUUUCCUAGAAAUGCACAUGCAAAAAUUAAUUUUGAUAUAAUGUAAUGAUAUGCAACAUCAUAGAUUCAAAGGUUCAACACAUUAUGGAUAAUUUGUAUAUAGUUCUCAAUGCAGGUUCAAAGGUUUGACGUAUACAUGAUGAUCAAGGUAUGUAGGGUCUUGGUUUCCUGUAAAAACCCAGUAUCCCCUCACAAGUAGGUUUUAGUCUUCAAAGGUGAUUCCUAAAAUUCCUCUCAGAGUCAUGGAUCCAAAUUAAAAUACCUUGCCGUAGAAAAUUCUUGCAGAACAAUGGUACUUCCAAGUGGAUCUCGUGCCAACCUAACACGUGAAAUACAGGUCAACACGACUAUCCACGAUUCUAUUCUGUUUGUAUACUUAAGCUCGGGUAUAAAGCUUAUCUCUCAUGUAACAUCAACCUAACCCAACAACAGAGAAUAUAGCAGAUAUCUAGAGUAUGAUGAAUAUAUAAAGCAAUAAAGAGUGCAAUAAAUAACAUAAAGAUAAAGCAAUUAAAGUAGUAAAGAUAAACACCCAAGCAAACAAGAAAACAAACAAGACUAUGAUUGACUUGCUUAUGGACUCCCCAACAGAAUCUCCAGUUGUUGUGAUGCAAAAAAUACAGAGUCUCCACCAAAAUUUAUUUAUUCCAAAGGAAAGGGGAAAUGCGACAAAACCCUUAAAAUAAAAGAAGAUGGUCAUCAAAACCAAAUUCGGGUUCGGGAGUCGAUUAUGCAAGGGGAAUGUAUUAGCACCCCUCACGUCCAUUAUACUCAACGUGAAGCAUUUUGAUUAUUCUUUGCGUGAAUGCGUGUUACGAUCUAAAGGUUACUUGCGAAUGAUAAAAGGGGGAAAAUUAAAUUUAUUAAUUAAUGUGCUCGCCAAGGAUUCAAACCCUCGUGCCUACGUCUUCUCAUAGUACAAUGAGAAAAUCAGAGCUCCGUAGUUCAUGGUAGAAAAUACGGAUUAUUUAUUGAUUUUAGGGAACAAUUAUAAUCGUAUCCUAGAAGUGUGUAGAUGUUAGCUGGUUUUGAUCCUUGUUCGGAUGCUCUAAGUUUUUAGUUUGACUACUAAGGAACAAAUUGUAACAGUUCUUUUAUGAAAAAAAAGAAAAUUUGUUUUGAAAACUUUUGUGUGAUAAAAGAAAAAAGAAAGAAUUGAUUGAAUUGAACUAGGAAAAGAGAGAAAGUUGCUUGAAUUAAAAAAAUAUUUUGAGUAUAAAAGGAUUGCGGAAUGAGUAAAAAUUUGUUUGGUUGUUGUGGAAGUAUUGCUUGAACCAGGAUUGUGUUGUUUGAAUCCAUAGGACAUGCGUAUCUGAAUCGAAGACUGUGGCGUUAACAAGUAGAUGGUGUGGCAAUGCAAGGUUGUAGGAUUUUUCCUACAUAUAGGGAGAUCAAAACCUACAAGAAAGGGGGCUGCCAGAGCAUGGAUCUCCACAGGACAGUGAAUGAAGGUUUCUAGAGCACAUGGCUCCAUAGGGCAAUGCACGAGGUUUCCAGAGCACCGGGCUCCACAUGGAAAUACAUUAGAGUUACCAGAGCACAUGGAUCUAUAGGGGAAAAUAAAAUAAAAUGGUUUCCAUAGCCCAAGGCUCCACAAGGAAAUGCAUGAAGAGGUUUUCCAGAGCAUGGAGCUCCGUAGGGCAAUGCAUGAAGCUUGCCAGAGGACAUGGCUCCACAGGAUAAUGCAUGAAGGGUUUGAUUCAUAUAUGGGUGUUUAACCAUGAUGUGAUUAACCCAAUGAAUGUAUAGAUGUCCAGGAUAAUGUAUGUUUUGUACAAGGAGAAGAUUAUUGUUGAUGUUGAUUAUUAUAGUGUUAAGGUGUUGAAGUGUCUGUUGGCUGUGGGGAAUGAGACUUGACAUUUAUUCAAUUUGAAUUGCACUAAAGUAUAUGAAAUAAGGUGAAUACUUUGAACAACUAGGUCAGGCGUCCCAUGUCCAAAGAUAUUCAGAAUGAGGAUAUGAAUAAUCAUUCUCAUCCCUUAUUCAUUACUUAAGGCUCGCGAUAAUUUGCAUCAUCACUGACAAGUGUUGAAAGAAAACUCUUUUUGUUGUGCUUGAAUGAUGCUCAUCAGUGAUAUACUCUUGAUGUCCAGAAUCUUCAAAGUCUUAAAUGUGAAGCUUUACUUAAAUUGACUUGAGUGUGAAGUCUUGACUUGGCUUGAGGUCCAAUGUAGUGUGAGCACAAAGAUCUAAUCAUAUCAAACGACCCAGAGGCUUAUGAUCACUUGACUGGGUAGGGGGAAACAGAUAAUGAUUCAGGAAAACUCUAAGACAAGGUCCAAUAUCAAGUGUAAUUAGCCGAUCAAGGUUGAAUUUGAUCAACUAAUUAAGGGAAAAAGAUCAUGCUAAAGUCCUAAUGAGCACAUUGAUUUUAUUUGAUUAACAAACUAUGGUCAUCAAGGAACUUAUAACAACCAUAAUAUAUGAUGAGAUUAAAUUGACAAUUAAAGAAAAAUUCUAAGGAUUAAUUCUAACUACAUCCUAAUCAAAACUAACAUGUGUUACUUUUAUUAUCUUUCAAAGAAUUUCUAAAAUGUAGCAAAUGUAUUUCAUGAAUUUAUUAAAUGUGUAAAGAAAAGAAUUGAAGAAAUAAAAGAAGAAAAACACAAUAAGAAAUAAUUAAAACAAAAAUGAAUAACAAAAUAGUGGGGAGGUGCAUGGUCCAGAGGGUUGUGUGUUAAAUAAAAGGAGUUGGGCCUUGCUUCAGCAGACCCAAAGAUAACUUUUGUUGUACUCAUCAUAGGAGGGAAGUACACAAGUAAGAGUUAUAUGUAAGUACAAAGCCCAUUGGGCUUGUGCACUUUGGAGCCUAAUAUGAACAAGGCAAGGGAGGGUGAAGAGUAUUAGUGUCUAUUUUCAAGUUUCAAAAGUUCACGCGUCCCUUUCAAAUCCCUCACCGGAGAACAAACCUCGUUGCAAUAUGAUUUUCAGUGAGUUUAUUGAAAACUGAUUGAAAAGGAUUGAUUGAAGAGAGGAUGAGGAUUUAUAGAGGUGAGUUCCUUAUUGAUUCAACACCAAGAAAAAAGGAAGUUCAAGAACCCCUAAUCCUCAUGGAACUGUGUUCGAGAAUUUAUACCAAGAGGCGAGGUAUGAUGUGCUUGCUUGGUGGAACUUGAUUCUGACGAGGUAUGCAUGUGAUGAUACUUUGUGUACAUUGUGAUUAAAAGCUAAGAUUGAUAUAUUGUUUAGUACCAUAAGAAUGAUUGAUUUUAUGUGAAGCAACUAUCCCAUGUAUGAGUGGAUCACUCUAAAGUUCUUGAGUAUUCUAGAGUUCAAAUAGCUUAAAACAAGGUCCGAAGGUAUCUGGUAUUAUCAUAGUACCCAUAAAUUAGGGAUGUUUAGUGAAAGGCAACCGUUGUUUGUUGAGGCCUUGGAACAUAUCCCCCGCUUGCCUACUGAUAGCCAUGAAGAUGUUCCAAAUGAAUUUGAUGUCACAAAAAUGUGGAUGGAUAUUUUGGGGGAUCAUAUUUAUGACUCCGCAAGAGCCAAGGCUGGAUUUAUAAAAAAAAACCUUGUUUCCACUAUAUCCAAAAAGCGUUGGAUUAUAUCCUCUUUGGUUGAGGCGAUAAUACCGACAUACAUGAUCUAUAUUUUAUGCACACCAUGGUAAAAAAUGAGUUUAUUAAUGUUAGUGCUUUCGUGGCUAACCAACUGAGAAAGGUUUCAAGAGCGACUAGUGGCAACAUUCUACACAUGGGGUUGAUUACCCUCAUCGUUGAGAACUCAGGGCAUGUAUUUAAUACAGAGACUUUUCAUACACUUGAUACAUAGUCUCUCAUAAAUAUGUGAAUUAUUUACUAUAAGGGGAAUACUUUGUCCAUAAUAAUCCAUAAGAGAUCCAUUCUUGAUUUUCCCAAACCAAGGUGUGUGAGGAUAAAUAAUAAGAACAAUUGGUUGUAUGAUAUGGGUAUCCAAUUCCCAGAGAUUUAUUCUAGGAUGAGGAAGAUGUCCCCAAUUUUGUUGAUAUUGAUGUAGGGAUAAAGAUGGACAAAGAGUUUGCACCACCACCUCUCUCGCCUACCCAACAUGAAACUGGGAGUUCCAAUGCUUAUCGAGAUAAAUAGGAAUGGAUGCAGUAUGAGGUCUAGAACAUUAGAGUAGAGUAAGUGAGACAAGGAGAGUAGAAAAUGAGACAAGGGACCAUGAUUAGAGUAGUUGAGACAAGGAGAGUAGAAAAUGAGACAAGGGACCAUGAUUGCCAAUGUUCAGAUGAUAAUGAAGCAACUUAUGAUGUGACUUCCACUUCCUCAGUGAGGUUCUUCGUGAGUUUUCUUAUUUACCUUCUCUACUUUUAAUAAAACAUUGCAGACAAUGUUUGGUUUAAGUUGGGGGAGGGGUAUUUCCUUUAUAUCAUGUUUUUUUUGUAUUGUUUUGUUUUAGUGUGAUUAUGCACCAUUGUUAAAUUCUCCCAAUUUGAACCAUUUCAAAUUUUUUGAAAAAGGAUUUGAUUAUAAUUUUACUGAGAAAGUAUAUAGAGUAUGAGAGAUGAGAGGUUUAAUUUAAGGACACCAGAAAACUUUGAUAAAAUUGGCAUUGUCUGAAAACCCGAAGUCUCUCGAAUUGGAUAUCUAUAUAGGUCAUUUUGUCUGAACACCUAUAGUCUCCAAAAAAAUUUGAGAAGUAUUUUACGAUAUGUUAAUUUAAAACAAUCGGGAAUUUUUUUGAUUCACUUACUACUAUUAGUUGAUUGACAAAUGAAAAUUGAAAAAAUUGAAAAGUUAUUCAACCCUCACUUAGUUAUUCAACCUUUCAGUGGUUGAUCCUCGAUGCCUCAAAAAUAUGUAAAGCUAUGUAAUUGAGAAUAAAAGGUUAUUAAUUGGAGUAAGUUGGGCACACCUUAAAGAUGUGGUCCUUCCCAAAAGUUAGUUUAUUCAUGUGUUGUGAAAAAUCAAGAAAAAAUCAAGUUAACCUUAUGCGUGUUUCAUGAUUAUCAUUAUUUUUAUUGCCGUAAUUUGAUUAUUCUGAAUGAAAGAAUAAGAAAAUCGAAUACAGAGACUUAGGUACAAAGCUAUAAUUGAAUUGGUGUUUAACGAGGGAGUCUUUAGUAUGUAUUCUUACAAUUUGUGUUCUUAAAAUGCCUUUGGUGUCAAAUUAGUAACGAGAGAUUUAAUCCUUAACCAAUCUGAACAAUGGUUCAUGUAUGUGUACCAAUGGUUUUGUUUUCAUUAGCUUUAUUUGUUACUUUGUCUAAAUUUUGUCUAUGCAAGGCAAGUUGCUUGAGGACAAGAAACCGUUUAAAUUUGGGGGAGUUUGAUAAUUGAUUUCCGUACCACUUUAUCAGUAGUUUUUAUUUCCUUUUUAGUCAUCUUAAUCUAUAUUUUUAUUAAUUUUUUUAUGUAUUAUUGUUUGUUUUCUCAAUUUUCAGGCUAUAAAGAGCGUCCUAAUGAAAAGAGAAGUCAAGAGGAGCAAAAUGUAUCGAAGAUCAAAGAAGGCGAUUUUCAUCAUACAAAAUCCAAGGGCACACUAUAAGUGACCAAAGAGAAAGCUAUGGGUCGUAGUUGCUCCUAGAAGCCCUCCAUACAAAAAUCCAGGGGUCUGUUACAGGCUAACCAUACCAGAGGCUUCAGGCCGUUAUAGUCCAGGAAGUUACAAUUUCCUUUUUUAUGUGCCUGUUUUUUCUUGUGUUUUAUAAUUCUGACUGUUUUAUUUAUAAAGAAAUGUCUCUAAGAAUCUAGAGGGAACGGAAGUAAGGUUUGUAAUAAUGGGAUUAAUUUAUUUAUAGUUAGGAAAUUGGGAGAAACAAUUAUCUCAUGCCCUAGGUUUACUUUACUAUGUUUAUCUUCCCACAACUUUUCUUCUAACAAGCAUUGUACUCAAGCACUGCAUUGAAUAUUUUUAUUCAAGCAUUUAUUUCUCGUCUAUCAUAUAUGUCAAUGUUUUAAUUAUUUUACUGUUUAACAUAUGUGAGUAGUUCCUUAAGGAUGAAGGAUCAUGAGAGUUGUCUCGUGACUAACCUCAAGUGAUCCCUCUACAUUUUAUUACUAGAAACAAAGUUAAAAUUAUUUUAGAACUUUGAGCUUUUAGCGCAUAUGUCAUUUACGAAAGUAAAGAUAUUUCAAGUACUGAUUAUACGCUGAAAGGGUGUAUUUCGGUACCCGAGAUGGAAUUCUAGACAAUUAACUAAGUACGAGACGACGAAAGUGUCUCAAACUUAGAUGAGAAAGUUUAUUUUAUAUAGUUGCACAGAACUAAUUUCAAACAAAUAAAUUGGACUGACAAAAGUGAACAAAUUAUUUGUUUGAUAGAGGAUAACAUGUCAAUGAAAAUAGGUGUUGUCUAAUUUUCUCUAUUUUUAUAUAAUUCGAUUGAUUUCUCAUAGUAGAAUUAGAGGUUCACAUGAGUAUCUUUAGAUAAGACUCAUGUACCAUGAGUCCCGCUUUUUUAUUACAAUAUUUAUUCAUUAAAAUUUAUUUGGUUCAAUCUCAAACUCAAUUUUGAUUGAUUUAGUUAAACAACGAUGUGGUAGAAUCCGGUAAUCAAAUAUUUGGUCUCUGGGGUACGACAAUCCUUUUUACUACUUUGAUAAUGUUGUAUACUUACGGCGUGUAAAGUUUUUUAAUUUUAGUUUGAUAUUUUAAUGAUAUCUUUAGAGAUGAAUAUUAUGUAUGUUAGGUAGUAUGAAAUAAUUUGAUUAAUUGCCUUGUUUCUCUUAGUUAAAGGUAAAAAAAUUUAGAAUGUGUAACUAAUUAUUUUUUAAAGUAAAACAUUCUUUGUAUAAGUCAUAAUAAAUUUUAUCAUUUAAAUUGAUUGAAUUUAAAUAAAUUUAGGUGAAUUCAUGACACUUUAGAGUUUGAUUGAGUAUGUAACUAGCAUCCAACCAUUUUAUACCAUGUCAUAUAUUUAGACAAAUUAUUAUUAAUAAAUUAAAAUUUUCAAUCAAUUUAACAUACACUCAAGGUAACUAAUUUUUUUUAUUAAUUUUAAUAAUUUGAUAAUAACUUCUUGUAGAAAAAAUGUAUUUACGGUUUCAUAUUUUAGAUCUUUCAAUUAGUAGUAAUUUUAAGAGAAUAAAAUUCUAGAACUCUAUAAAUGAUCGGAAUAGAAAGUGUUUAUCUAUUAUGAUAGGAUUGAAAAGUAUGGUUAUGUAGAUCAUAUGGUAAAAAAAUACCAUCAAGUCUAUUUAAGAAUAUUAAUUAUAUAAUUACUUAAAAUUAUAUUCAUUGUUUAAAACAUAGGUGAAAGUAGAAAAAAAAAUAGAUAUAAAGACAUUCAACCAUACAAAACACUUAAUGAAAGAGAAAUUGAAAUUUAUGUAAAUAAAAAACAAAGUCGAGAUGAGAUUGUGAUUAGAAGUGAAGAUGAUGCAAAUGGGAAAGGGAAAGAUGAAAAGUAUCAUCAUCUAGAUCAUGAAAUGCAUAUCUUGACUCAGAGAGAAAGGGAAAAGAAAAUGAGUAAUAUAUUCUCGAACCUUCACGCCCUGCUUCCUGAACUACUUCUAAGGUAGUCUUCAAUUAAUUUAAGGGUAAUCAUUGCAUGAUCAAAUAGACUUUGUACUAUUUAUUUUGCUAAGACAUCACUUUAUUUCAACCAAAUAAAGUAGUAAUUUUAAUUGUUUGAAAAUGAGUGUUUCUUUUCUCCAUUUAACUUUGUAAUGUCAUUGUUACCAUCUUUUUCAAUUUGGACAAAUAGGAAGUUUUAAUAGGACAAAAAUAUCUCUCGAUUUUUUAGUAUACUAUUUUUAUUUUUUUAUUAUCGACUAGACUAAAUUUUUAAUUUUUUUUUUCAAUUCCAUGGUUUAAUAUUUUUUUAAUAUUUGUUCACAUAAGUAAAAAAUAAUAAGAGAUCUAUAUAAUUUUUUAUUCAAGAAAAUAUAUUUUAAUUUUAAUUAAAUUAGUAUGAUAAUACUUACUUAAAUGGUAGGAUGUAGUAUGGAUACAAUAUUAGAACCACUUAUAGGCUUAAUCAGAUUUUUAUUUUUAUUAGAAGAACUUUAUAUCAAAUUAUGACUUGAACAAAUAUCAGUCAUAUUUUAUUUAUUUUUGAAUGAAAUUUUAGAUUAUCAAGUGUCUUUCUCCAACAACCAAAGGAAUAAAAUAAAAUAUAUAUUUGACACAAACCAUCAGAGUAAGGCUUUCGUAUCAUAAUGAUUUACUUACUAAUUAAAUUUCUUAAUUUGAUUAUUUUUUGUAGGCUGAUAAAUCAACAGUUAUGGAUUCAGCAACGAAGGAAAUAAAAAUUCUACAAUAAAGUCUUGAAAAGUUAGAAAAGCAGAAGCAAGAAAAGCUGAAAUAUGCCGCCCUAUUUGGAAUUGAGUUAUCAUUUGUAAUUAACAAAUCACAUUAGCAUCCUUAUGAAUAAAGGGAAAUGAUCAAAGUUGAUCAAGGAUCCUCAAGUUAUAAUAAUAACUUGCCUACUAGUACAAUUAUAGCUUUGUAUUCUAAUUCAAAAGCAUUAUCAUUAUCUGCACCUCCACCAGAACACGUAUUUUUUUAAUCAUGGACUUCUCCAAAUGUUGUCAUAAACAUAUGUGGUGGUGAUGUACAAUUUGGUAUAUAUGCUACUAAAAGGCCAUGUCUUUUGAUAAAGAUUGUGUUUGUGUUGGAGAAAUAUAUAAUUGAUAUUGUAUUUGCCAACAUUAUGUGCAACGACAAUGGAAAUUUCUAUAUGAUUCAAGCACAUGCAUGUUUUAAACCUGCUUUCUCUUGUCUUUAUGGUUUAUAUGUGAUAUCAUAGUACAUUUGUUAAAACUAAAUUAUUGUGGUACCAAAAAACUAUAAUAGUUUACUAAUUCAUUAAAAAGGUUAUUUAGCAUGAAGGAAAUUUUACAGGCGAGACAAGGUUCACAUGACGCAAAUUUAGUGGAGGAAAUUUACAAGAAAGCAGCGAGAGAAGUUAUGAUACAGAUCUCUUAAAUUUUAGAUUAUAUAACUUUCUUUGCAUUCCGUGUGAAUUUUAGUUUAAUUUUAUUCUCUAGAAAACUGUUAGAAAUGGUCAAACUUGCAUAAUUGUCUUAAGAUCAAAUAAAUAUAAUAUUUCCUUUUUAUGAAAUUAUUAUGGUCUUUUUCAUUUGAGGAAAAAAUUAUGGUGUUUAAACUAGUUUAUACAUGCAAUUUAUGUUUUCUUUUCUAAUAUAAAUUGCACAAAUAAGUAUAUAGUUAUUGUUGUUGUAUGAACACGGGGUGUUGAUCACCGAUGCUAGUGAUAUGAUCUCUAUGUCUAAUCAUGUUAGGCUAAAUAAAUUUUCUGAAUAUUUUUUCCCCAAACAUUGAGGUGUACCUACAAAUACAUUAUGGUUUAAAAGUUAGAAAUGGGUUGAGUACAUAGCGAAUGAAUGAGUUUGGAAUUGAAUGAUCAUACCUGGACGCUGAACCCAUAAUAUAUAAAUUUGUUAUAUGCACUCAAACUAUUGUUUAUACUAAGUUGAUCACUGUGAUUACAUCAAGACAAAUGUGUCCCGCCAACAUAACUGAAUGUCGAGAUAUAAUAUUGUGCUUAAUCUAAUUUCAACAUGCUUCACAGUGUUUAGAAUGGUAUAAGGAUACCUCUGUUUCGAAAACCUUUAUGCAUAAAUGAACUUAUAUUCUUGGAAAAUGUCAUGUGUCAUUUAUUAUUUAGUGUCAUAUUUUGCACUAAUGUUUGUUGGAAAUCCCCUAAAACCUAUGGAGAAUUUCAAUCAAUCUUGAUGAACAAGAUUGUUAUUACCCACACAAUAGCAAUGAAAAGAAAGGAACAAUGAAGAAAGAGAGAGUGUAUUGAACGAUGAAGGAGAAGAGUAAUAUAAUUCUGCAGAGUUUCUCUCUGUCCACAAACUGUGGAAAACUUCUUAUUCACUUUGCAACUGCAAAAUAUUGUGAAUACAAUGUUAUGAAUGCUCAAUUCACCUCUUUACAAAAAUAAGGGUUACUCUCUCUAUUUAUAGAUUUAGGUUAACUUGGACCUCAAGCCAAAGCCUAAAACUAUAAAAGUCCAAAAUAGCUAACACUACUAAAAUAGGCAUAUGUGGUUCAACACAAGGAAUUACAAUUCAACACACCACCUAAUUCAUUGUGUCUAAGCUAUCUACAUUCAUCAUAGCUCUUAGUCUUUUGAACACAUCGACCUGCACUCCCUGCGUCAUGAUGUCUACAAUCUGAUUCCCAGUUCUGCAGUGUUCCACUUUCAUCUUCCCAUCUGCUACUUGCUCUCGAAGAUAAUGGAACCUCAUUUUGACGUGCUUGCUUCGACCAUGUGCUAUCGGAUUCUUCGCCAGAUUGAUUGCUGACAUGCUGUCGAUCUUCAUGGUAAUUGUUCCAUGAUUCUUCGUUGUUAUCUCUUCGACUAGAUUCACCAUCCAUAUUGCUUGACAUGCACAAAGAGAAACAUCAAUGUAUUCUGCUUCGCAUGAUGAUAAUGCCACUACUGGCUCUUUUCUCGAACUCCAAGCAACUGGUGCACCACCUAGCAUAAACACAUAACCAGUUGUGGAUUUUUGAUCCUCAGCAUCACUACACCAACUUGAGUCGGUGUAUCCCACUAAUUUGCAUUCUUUUCCUUCAUCAGAUGUAGGAAACAAAAUGUCAUAAUCGAGAGUUCCUUUCAGAUACCUUAGUAUCCUCUUCGCCGCUGCUAGAUGUGAUACCUUUGGCUUCUGCAUGAAUUUACUCACCAUACCUACACUGUAUGCUAAGUCAGGCCUUAUGUGGCAAAGGUAUCGAAGUGACCCAAUAAGUCUUCUAUAUUGGGUUGGGUCGACAUCAUCUUCAUCUGAAUCUUUUGACAGUUGUAAUCUGGGCCCAGCUGGAGUCGAAGUUGGGUUACAAUCUUGCAUCUCAAAUCUCUUGAGAAUUUCGCCUGCAUACCUUCUUUGGUGCAUCAUGAAACCUCUACCACUCUUGUAUAAUUCGAUGCCAAGGAAAUAUAAAAUGUCACCAAGAUCUGAAAUUUCGAAUUCCUUGUUGAGAUAUUCUUUGAAGUCUUCGAUCUCCUUCUUACAACUACUUGUUAUCAACAAAUCAUCGACAUAAAGACAUAGUAAAAGCAAUUCACUCUUGCUUCUUAUUAGAUUAACUCCAUGUUCACUUGUGUACUUCACAAAUUCCUUCUCCCUUAGAAAUCCAUCUAUCUUCUUGUUCCAAGCUCUUGGAGCUUGUUUAAGUCCGUACAAGGCUUUAUGCAGCCUGUACACCUUUCUUUCUUUGCCAUGUUUCACAAAGCCAACUGGUUGUGCAACAUAAACUUCUUCUUCUAAGGAGCCAUUAACGAAUGCACAUUUCACAUCCAUCUGACACAUCUGUCAGUUGUUCAUGUUUGCUAGACCAACAACCAACCUGACUGUUUCAAUCCUAGCAACAAGUGUAAAAACUUCAUCAAAGUCGAUUCCUUCUUUCUGAAGAAAUUCUUUCGCCACAAGUCUCACCUUGUGUCGAGUCACUUCUCAUUUGGGAUUCAAUUUCACCUUGUAUACCCACUUCACAUUGAUUUCCUUCUUGUCUUGGGGCAAUUUGACAAGUGACCAAGUGUUGUUGACUUCGAUUGACUUAAGUUCUUUAUCCAUUGCUUUCAUCCACUUCGAAUCUUUCAUUGCCUCAGCUGCAUUGACAGGUUCGACAUCUGCGUAGAAAGCAUAAUGUAUCAGCUCACCUUCUUCAUCGACUAUAUCAUCUGAUGUAAUCACGCAUUCUUGCAACCUUGCAUGCAUGUGUCUCGUUCUUUGAGGUCUGCUUGUACUUGCUUCACCUCUGACUUCUUCCUGUUGAAUUCUCUUUCGACUUCACUAGCUGGUUCAUCAUAAAAUAUUCUCACUGAAUCUUUAUUGAUAUUCUCAGUCCAAUCCCAUUCCUUAAGCUCAUCUAUGAUCACGUCCAUGCUGAUCACUACUUGCUUAUUCACUGGGUCGAACAACUUGUAUCCUCCAGUCGAAUGAUAUCCUAUCAGGAUCAUCUGUAUGGACUUGUCAUCAAGUUUUCUUCUCAACUGAUCUGGCACAUGUCAAUGUGCUAUAGAUCCAAACACCCUAAGAUGACUCAAGCUAGGCUUGACACCAGACCAACAUUCUUCUGGCGUGAUUCCUUCUAGCUUCUUCGUCAGACAUCUGUUCAUGAUAUAUGUCGCAGUCGACACAACUUCUCCCCAUAAUUAUUUGGGUAGAUGCUUGCCUUUCAACAUACUUCUAACCAUAUUCAUAAUGGUUCUAUUCUUCCUUUCUACGACUUUAUUCUGUUGUGGAGUGUAGGGUGGGACCACCUCAUGCACAACCCCUUCUUUCAUACAUAAUGCAUUGAAGUCUUUUGACACAUAUUCUCCACCACCACCAGUCCUGAAAAUCUUGAUCUUUCGACCGCUCUAUCUUUCGACCAUAGAUUUAAACUUGGCAAAUACCUCGAUCACUUCACUUUUCUUCUGGAUCAGGUAAGACCACAGUUUUCGACUGAAAUCAUCUAUGAAUGUAACAAAGUAUUUGUUACCUCCAAUCUAAACUUGGCAAAUACCUCGAUCACUUCACUUUUCUUCUGGAUCAGGUAAGACCACAGUUUUCGACUGAAAUCAUCUAUGAAUGUAACAAAGUAUUUGUUACCUCCAAUCAAAUCCACCUGGAGAGGAACACAUACAUUAGAGUAUAUUACUUCAAGAAUUGCCUUCGACCUGCUUCCCGCAUCCUUACUGAAGUUGUUUUUAUGCUGCUUUGCCUGCACACAUUCUUCACACACUUUGUUUGGAAUGUCGAUUUCUGGUAAUCCUGAAACCAUAUUUCUUCUCUUCAAAUAUUUGAUGUCUUUGAAAUUAAGAUGGCCAAGUCUAUAAUGCCAUAUCCAUUCAUCUCUGUUGGCUGCUGUUGUAAGGCACUUGUGCUCCAUCACAUUAAGCUCAAUCUUGAAGGUUCUAUUCUGAGACAUUUGAGCCUUCAAGAUCAACCUUACAUUUGAAUCGAGAACUCUCAUCAUCUUGUCUUCGAUCGACACCUUGUAGUUCAUUUCGACUAACUGCCCUAUGCUGAGCAAAUUGCUCUUGAUGCCUGGUAUGUACAACACGUUUGAAAUUACUGAUCUCUUGCCAUCUUUCCUCAUAGUCAGAACAUCAUCAACACCUUCAGCUGCUAGAGUGUUGUCAUUUGUAAACUUCACCAUGUUCUUCAUUUAGGGCUUUAUGUUGACAAACAAAUCUUUUCUUCCAGACAUGUCUGAUGAGCAUCCUGAGUCCAAGUACCACUGGUCCUUGAAUCUCUCUUCUUCUUUUGUUGUAACCAUCAACAAUGUCUCUUCUUCUUCUUCUUCUUCAUGUUUUGCUAGCUUUGCAUAAGUUUCUUGAUUCUUCUACUUUUCUGGACAAUCACUAGAAUAAUGACCAUACCUUUGACAAUUGUAACACUGAAUGUGACUUUUGUCUGGCUUUUGACCACCACCUCUUCCUCUACCUGCAACACCACCUCUUUGAUUGCCUUGGUUCCAGGGUUUUCUCUGAUUCAACCAGUUUCCUUCUUGCUUAUUUCGACCAGUCGAAUUGUUGUAACCUCCUUUGCCUUUGUUGCCAUUCCAGAUUCCUUUGCCUUUUCUUUCUUUUGCUGAUUGAGCCUGCAAAGUCAUAUCACUCUUCGAAUUUCCUAUAGCUCUUUCAUCCAUUAUUUGUUCAUGAGAUUCAAGUGUCCAUUGAAGCUCUUCCUUUGUCAAUUUUGACAAAUCUUUCGACUCUUCUAUGGCUACUACCACGUGGUCGAACUUUGGAGCCAACGACCUCAAGAUUUUUCCAACAACAGAUUAUGAUGUCAACACUUCUCCAUAUACCUUCAUUUGAUUCACCAGUUUUGUAACCUUGGUGAAGAAAUCAGUUAUGCUUUCAUUGUCUUCCAUCUGAAGCAAUUCAUACGUUCUUUUGUGAGUUUGUAACCUCACCUCUUUCACCUUCUCUGCGCCUCCAAACAUUUCUCCAGAAUUUCCCGUGCGUCUUUCGCUGACUCUGCAUCACUAACCUUUUCAAACUUAUAUGUAUCAACACAUUGAUGGAUUAUAAAUAGAGCUUUAUAGUCUUUCUUCUUCAAUUCUUUAUGUGCAACCUUUUCUUGAUCCGUCGCGGCUUCUGCAAGCGUUGCUACUCCUUCCUUCACAAUAUCUCAAAGAUCUUGAUAACAGAACACAACCUUCAUCUGCUUGCACCAAUUCUCAUAAUUGGUGUUCUUGAGAAUUAGAAGAUUUGUUGGAAAAUGCCCGUUUGGAUUAUUCGUUGCCAUGGUGAUUUGCUUCCCACGAAUUGAUUAAACCGAAGCUCUUGAUACCAGAUGUUUGAAAUCCCCCAAAACCUAUGGAGAAUUUCAAUCAAUCUUGAUGAACAAGAUUGUUAUUACCCACAUAAUAACAAUGAAAAGAAAGGAACAAUGGAGAAAGAGAGAGUGUAUAGAACGAUGAAGGAGAAGAGUAAUGUAAUUCUACAGAGUUUCUCUCUGCCCACAAAUUGUGGAAAACUUCUUAUUCACUUUGCAACUGAAAAAUACUGUGAAUACAAUGUUAUGAAUGCUCUAUUCACCUCUUUACAAAAAUAAGGGUUACUCCCUCUAUUUAUAGAUUUAGGUUAACUUGGACCUCAAGCCAAAGCCCAAAAUUAUAAAAGCCCAAAAUAGCUAACACUACUAAAAUAGGCAUAUGUGGUUCAACACAAGGAAUUACAAUUCAACAUGCUUCACUAUUGUCUAUACUAAGUUGAUCACUAUGAUUACAUCAAGACAAAUGUGUCCUACCAACAUAACUGAAUGUCAAGAUAUAAUAUUGUGUUUAAUCUAAUUUUAACAUGCUUCACAGUGUUUAGAAUGGUACAAGGAUGCAUCUGUUUCGAAAACUUUUAUGCAUAAUGAACUUAUAUUCUUGGAAAAUGUUAUGUGUCAUUUAUUAUUUAGUGUCGUAUUUUACACUAAUGUUCUCAUAUUAUACUUCAUUCAUGUUAAGCUUGCUAAUUGAGUUUGUUUUUUACUUUCAAUGAGAGUUUUCUUAGUUCUUGAUUUCUACCAUAUUUGAUUUGUAUCUCUUACAUCCAUACAAUUACAAAAGACUUUAUAUCCUUAACUGUUUUAAAAGGUAAUGGUUUUAAGAAGCCUUAAAGUUUGAAAAAAAAUUCAUGUGAAUUUUCAUUCAGAUGAAUGACCUCCAUAGACUUACAACUCAUAGAUGAAGUAACAGUCUAAAAGUCUUUAUGAGGUGAUAUUUUUUUAUUUGCAUAUACCAUAUAUGCGUGUUUUGACACAUGCCUAUUCCAUUUCACAUGCAUGAUGCAAUAUUUUUGUGUGGAUUUAUCACAAUUAUUUGACCUAUUGAUUUUGCACAUGACCGUUUGUUCAUGUUGAUUAUUUUUAUAAACUUAUUUCUAUCAAUUGAUUCAUUAGUUUCCUCUUCUACCAAAUUAUAAUAUUUUUCAUUUCUUAUCAUUUUAUUGUAUUUCAAUUAAUGUCUUCACACUUAAUUUUUGUAUCUUUAAUUCGUGUCCUUGGUUUUUGGCUUUGUCGCCAUUUCUUCCUUCAAUCUAAUUGUUUCUCACUUUAUUCCUAUUAAAUAUUGACUUUCAUAUAUUUCAUUAAUUCUAUGUUUAGUAGGAAAUGAUCGAGUUAAAUGGCGUGGAAGUUGUCGACCCUGAAUGAACCAUUAGAAUCAUUGAUGCAUCCAUUUAUUCUUUGUUUGUAGAAACUUGGUUUAAGGUUACAUCUCCUUAUUAUCCAAACAAGUAUUAUGUUGCUUUAAGCCAUUGUAUACUUUUUUACAAGCCUAAUAAGAAAUUUUAAAAUAGUUACUUGGGUAGGCACUUUUCUAUAUUUACCAAAUUUUAUUUUCUAUGAUUUAGUUUUUCCCUUUAUUUAGUUUGAAUGCUAAGAGAUGUGAUGGUGUAAUACCACUCUUUCUCAAUUUAACCUAAUAUUUAGGCAUAUGUAAGGUGCUUUUAGUUUACUUGUGCUUAUUGGAAGGUGGAUUGCAAUCCUACUAUUUUCUUUUGCUUCUGCACUCUAAAAAUGGAGAUUGAGACCCUCCUGUAUUAUUUUAAGGGAAAGUGUAGUGAGGUUCUGUAUCUCUCACAAAUAUACACAAAUAUUUAGGAAUAAUUUAUUCAAAGUGGCAUAUGUAUUCAUUGUGAAACUUACUUUUCUUAUGAUUAUGUGAAUACACAUGUUCUGUAUGGGAGCCUGAUAUUGGUGAAGAAUAAGCGAACUUAAGUAUCAAUCUGGUGAAGUGAACUUCUUGUACAACGGGGUGGACCAGUAAGGUUAUUGAUCGGAAAAAUAGCAAGUGUACUAUUUUCGCCGAUGUAGUAAUAAGAGGGAAGUUUCCCAAAGAUCGAUCUCGAGGAUUGCGCAGCAAUAUAAACGUAAAUAGUCACUCAAUUGAACAAAAGUUAUAAUUAUGGUUUUGAAGAAUUCACUGUAAGGAAAAAUAUAACAAAUAAAUAUUUUCACAAGUUAAUAUGAUAUGCCAAGGUAGGUGUGUAAAUAUCUCCUGUAAUGACCCCUUGAGUGUAUAUCUCCUUAAUACUGAAUAUUAUUAGGAAAAAUAUAACAAAUAAAUAUUUUCACAAGUUAAUAUGAUAUGCCAAGGUAGGUGUGUAAAUAUCUCCUGUAAUGACCCCUUGAGUGUAUAUCUCCUUAAUACUGAAUAUUAUUUCAAUUACCGAAUCUUAAGAUUAUUUCCCCCUAAGUCCUUAGAGGGAAACCUUUGGUAUUCAAUCUAACCUCUAAGUCCUUAGGUGAUUACGAUGAAACCAAACAUUUUAAAUUAACAAGAUUAAUCCGGUAACCAUAGGGUAUCCCUAGUUCUAGGUGAUCUCUACUAUGGUUUCACUGUAUGAAAACCUUAACCAUUGCAGUCCUGCUAAGCUUUAACCAUAAAUCAAUCUUAAUUUUUGCCAAAAAAAAGCAUUACGCAAAUCAUACAGUGAAAUUGAAAUCAAAUAAGAUAUAUUAAGGGAAAACAAACACCGGAGUCAUUACAUGAUCAAUUCAGGGACACCCCCUGGCAUUGAGGGGUUUAGACUAUCAUAUUAAUCAAAUCAGAUACAAAGUAAAAUUGAGACAUUACAAAAAGGUCGGAGUUCCGUUGAUCUUCAAUCGCGUCCGCUCUUGAAGGAUCCCCGUUCUUCGCUUCUUGUCACUUCCUCAAUCUUGAUCUUUUCCAAUUCUCUCUCGUGUCCAAAGUCUCCUUUUUCCAAUUCAAAUCCACUAUAAAUAGUUCCCGAUGACAAAUUUCCUUGCAUAAAAGUCCAAAAUACCCUCCGGGAUAAGCCGUGCCAAAAACAGCAAAAAAUAGGAAAUUCAAGUGCCCAAGCCAACAUUGGCCGUGUCAGGCAACACACCUGGCCGUGUUGGCCUCUGGGCACAAUUAUGCUGUGACACACCCCUUCAGGGAGGCUAACACGGGCGGCUAUGUCAGCUCCCUGUUUUCCAUUUCCCCACCUUCUCUCCUAACACGACCCGUGUAGGCCAACACGAGUGACCGUGUCAGAGCUACUGUAGGUCCAUUUUUCUUCUUCUGUCGGGUCCGGAAUGCAUGUUUUGCCUGUCUAUCCCUCUAGUGCACUUGUUUAUACCUGAAAUCAAAAGAACUACCACAAAAGGAUAUAAAAUGGAGUAUGAUGAUGCAUAUAAUAUGUGCUUAAUAAAUAGAGACAACAACAUCAACCAUAUAGAUAACACAACAAAACAAUAAAAUAAGUGACUAAUGUUACGAUUCCUUACAAAGGUGCCAAAUGAGUGUCAGAAAAGAAGGAGAAUUGGCGACUGAUCAUAACCCCAAACUUAUCUCAUUGCUUGUCCUCAAUUGAUGCUCCAGACAUCAGGACGGUUGCCCCCAAAUGAAUGAAUCCACAAUGCUACCGCAAUCUUCCCCGUUCUCCUGUUCACUUUCAAUCAUAGUUUUACUCUUUCCCAAUUUCCAACUUUAGCCACACUUUAACUUUGACACAUCUUUUGGCAUGUAGCUUUUCACACUAUCACCAAAUCUCUCGGGGUCGAAGUGUUUACACUCAAGAAAAUAGAGUAUGCAAAAUCAGCUCUUAGGUUUGAAAUACAGAUACUUUCAUAACAAGCAACACACAACACACACUAUUUGAGGACUUUUUCGGUUGUAACGGGGCUAAGGUGUAAGGUGGGUAAUAGAAAAAAAAGGAAUACUAGGGGUUUAGGCUCAGAUUUCAUGUUGUUACCCUUGUGCCGUUUAUUUAAAUUUCAAACUCGGGUGUAUUUCUUUUGGACACCGUUUUUCUUUGUUGAAGUUCAUUGGCGCAUAUAUUUUCUUUUAUUGCUCUCUUGAUGCAAGCUUUUUGCCAACCAUAGACUUCCUAGAUAAGUGCUUCAAGACUUCUCUUUUUUUUUUUAAAUUUCUUUCUCUUCUUUUUCUCUGCAUUUUUCUUCAUCUUUUUGCACUUAUCUAAGGUUUGUCGGUGUCCCUAAAUUUUGAUGAAACCCCAAACUUAAGCUUUUCGGUAGCUUCAGGGAAAACAACACUUGUCUAAGCAUGGUAUGGUAGUGUAUGGGCUUAUGGAUAUAUAUAAUGGUAAAAAUAAAAACAAAAGGAAAUAUGGCUCAAAAUUGGUGAACGACGAGUAAUUAUGACGGGCUGGCUUGAAAGGCUCAAGGUUAAAAUACAAAAACAAUGCCUCAGUGUGUAUCGUGUGCUAUGUAAUUUCAGUAUGUCUAAUGCAAACCCAGAGAGACAAAGACAUACCUGAACAACUCUCAUGAUGAUAAGUGCUUGGCUUUUUGUAGUUCUCAACAUGUUUUGUCUCGCUUUCAGGCUUCCAAGACGUUUCUCAGUAUGGUGUACCUUCGUCUUCUCUUCAGUUGCGGAGUAUCACUACAAACACCAGUGACAGAGAGUUGCAUCCGAUUUUUCGAGUCGGUAGCAUCAAUCUUCGGGGGUUUCCAGAAGAGCAAGUAGAGGGGUGUGUCUUCCAUCCAAUCGUUCCAAGCUUCAUCGUUCAUCUAGCACGAAUGUCCUUUAUCUGUAACACAUAGAGUACACACAACUUAAUUCAAACAAAAAUAUUAAGAACAAAACAAAUAACAAACCAAACAAACAAAAACAACAAUAAAUAAUAAAAAACCCCCACACUUGAACUCAACAUUGUCCGCAAUGUUUGCAUCCAAGAUAGAGGGGUGCUCAAACCGGCUCACUGUGGCGGCAGAAAUUACAACAUCAAACGUUGCAUCAUCGCGUGCAUCUCAUCCAUCAGAGUCCCUUGACGGGCCUUCUCUACACCUUGGCGUGCUUGUUCCGCUCAGAGAUCGCCAAUUUCUGUUUGCAUCCAUGACCAUUUGUCCGACGUCACAUAUGAAGAACCGGCACUGGGGUGCAUGGAUUCCUCUGGUGGGACAGCAAAUUGCUCCUGAUCAUGCAUCUCUUCCUGCACUUCUUCCUCUUGUGGAUUACCUACAGCAAAUGUAUCAGCAUUGUAUUCAUCCAUAUCAUCUUGGACGACACUUUCAUAAAGCCAAUUGGCCAUGUUUGAGAUUCUAAUGUGUGUCGGCUCAGGUAGAGCCAUAAUAAACUGACCCGAACUCAUUAAGGCAUAAUAAUCAGAAACUUGUGAAAUCAUACCUUGUUGGACCAAUGCGUUCAUGUCCAGUUUUCUCUUACCUGCUACCGGUGUCUCAUUAAGUGUAGUCAGGUCAUAUCCGAAAUGUUGGGCAAUUUGGAUGAUGAUGCCUCCUAUGGAGAUUCCUCCUUGGGUUGCUCUCCCCACACAACCCAGAUAAUCUACAGCAAAUGCUGCAACACUCACAGUUACCCAGUUUGCCAUGGCAAACAAAAAGAAUAACUCUCUCUGGGUGGCUACACCUGUAUUGUCACCCCUGCCAAAUAGUGUGAAGGCUAGCACCUUCUGGGCAUACCUGAAGCAGGGGUUUUGAAUGCCUGACGCCUUUGCUCCUUUAGCCUGGUAGUCAGAACGUCCCGUAAUGGCCAACCAGAAUGUCUUAGCACCGAAGCUGUCUAAUACGGAUCCGGGGCCAUAAAGGGGUAGGCAAAGAAUUUCACCCAACAGCUCGACCGUCAACUCAUGGUCGACAUUGUACAACCUGAAAGACAUAGUUCCUCCAAAGCACAUAGUUGUACCCGUCCAACCCUUUUUGAGCUUGAACUCAAUUGUGCUCAGAAAUUCUAAUGUGAUGCGCUCAAAGGUUGACGCUUCAUAAUGGACAAACUCCAGCAUUCCAAGCACAUGAAACAUCCUAUCCAGUUCUUCAGACAUACCUAAUUGAAAAAGAGUGUCGGAGCAAAGGUACCUGGUCAGAGUGAUUUUCCGUUUGACAUGCGAUUCGUACCUCUGUUCAUGCUCCGGGUUAUCAAAAAUUAUGUCAUGUGAAUUGGGAUGACGGAUUGUCUAUUUCCUUGGACGGGAUGAUUCCGCGUCCGCUUGCUUCCUUUUGGAGACUCUUUUUGGCGGCAUUCUUGCUUCCUGAAAUAUAAAUUAUCACCCAAUUUUUUUUUAAGGAGAACGGAAAAAGAUUACCGUAGCGUUGUAGAGGAUGGCGAGUAGAAUAACUUUUGUGAAGGAUGUCGGCACUUUGGACAGGAAAUGACGGUAAAGUUUGGAGUUUUUUGUGAGUUAGGUUAUGGAGGAAUGUGGAGAAAGUGUGAGGAAGGAGAAAGAUAAUGAAAUAAUGAAGGAAUGUGAUGAAGAAAAAUCAGAAUAUAUUGGUGGAUAGUGGGUAAAAAGUGUUUAAAUGGUGAAAAGUUCGGUUGGGGCCCACAAAACACAAAAAUAAAAAAUUUGAAAAAUAUGGUAGUUGGGCCUGACACGGGUCGUGUCAGCUGACACGGGCGGCCGUGUCAGGCCACUAGAAUUUGAGGCUUGGUUCAGUAGGGCUGACACAGGCGGCCAUGUCAGCCCACUGUAAAAAAAAUGAUUUUUUGCUUUUCCUGACACGGGUCGUGUUAGCUGACACGGGCGCCCGUGUCAGGGCCCUGUUUUUUUCAAAAUUUUCCGACUUUUUUUUUUUCGUUUUCAGAUUUUUUCUGUUCUUCCGGUGUUCAACCAUCUAAGUCAACCUUUCUCGUCUGAAUGUGCGAUGCAACUGCGAACCUGUAGACAAACCAAAUAAGAAAAUAGUUAAAUAAAUCGCGUGGGUUGCCUCCCACGAAGCGCUGCGUUUAACGUCGCAUGGCUCGAUGGUCGUCACCCUCAUCCUUGGAGAUGAACAUUC
RNAcentral lists this long non-coding RNA (86698 nucleotides) under Lathyrus oleraceus (garden pea). RNAcentral's name for it is "Pisum sativum (pea) long non-coding RNA (PSAT_LNC029597)". Lineage: Eukaryota; Viridiplantae; Streptophyta; Magnoliopsida; Fabales; Fabaceae. The record is from RNAcentral.